Molecule: long non-coding RNA, 67997 nt
Filed under: Coffea arabica (coffee)
Lineage: Eukaryota; Viridiplantae; Streptophyta; Magnoliopsida; Gentianales; Rubiaceae
Description: long non-coding RNA (CARA_LNC004011)
Source: RNAcentral
UUUUUUUUUUUUUUUUUUUUUGUAGAAACGAUGGGAUGGGAUUUCUAUAACUUAAACUAGCCUAUUCUAGGGGGGAGGGGAGGGGAAGGGGACUCGAUAUGAGUAGAAACUCCAUCGAAGAUGGCCAAAGAAGACCGUCACAUAUUGUGACAAAUUUUUGAGGGAGGCAGGGUUCGAAUCCAUAAUCUCUUUGCAUCACCAAAGCUUAGAAGGCUUGGGAUGACCACUGGACCAAAGGCCCAAUGGCUCGUGUUAUCAGUUAUUUGUGUUUUGGUUGUUGAAAUUAGCGGGUCACCUAAAAUUUGAAUUGUUGAGAAGGACAAGGUUACUUAAUAUAUCUGAAUUAAAAUAAAUAUGUAAAAUUGUAGGAAAAAGAUAUUGGAAUUUUGGAGGUUUGUGGAGACUUCUAACAAAAAUACUUAUAGAUAUAGAUGAGACAGAUAAUCAAAUCAAAUGGAAGUGAAAAGACAAUGUAGUAAAAAAAAAAAAACAUUUGCUGUUUGGACACCCUUUUUUUUUCCAGGAAAAAGAACUAGCGAACGUAAAGGUGUUGGUUGGUUCCUGAAAUCUGCAAAAAUAUGCUGCUGCUUACCACUUGUCGAGUGCUUCUCUUUCUAUCCAUUAUUACAUGCGACCUUCCUCAGUUAGCAUGAGAUUUGCGUGGCCACUCCAUCAAAGUGACGGCGUGCUACACAUUCAGACUCAGGCCAGAUAGAGAUUUUACUCGAGUUUGAAACGUAAUUCUUUCAUAUAAUAAUUCAUCAACUUUUCUCUUUUCUUUCUUCAACGGCCUUCAUCAUUGCAAAGUUGGUAAGUAAAAGUGGAGACAAAACAAAUUAACUGGGACGACGACACACGGAAAGUUUGCAAUUUCCGCGAGAGAACAAGUGAAUGGCAAAGGCGUGUUAUGCACGUACAUUUUGCUGCGGAUCAAUAGCUCAUACGCGAGGCUUUCAAUAGGAUUAGAAUUCCACCCAAUCUUCUCUUUCUCUGCGUUGUUGUCUCGACAAUUUGUGGUUCUUUUCUGAAUUCCAUCUUUACUACGGCGCCAAACGCGAGAAUUUCUUCUCAUCUGCCUCCACCCAAAUUUUAAUAAAGGCGCCAAACCCCACUAAAGGUUGGUCUUAUUUGCACUUUUUUCCCUAAUAAUAUUUUUGUUGCAGUUCCCCCCCCCCCACCCCCAACUAAUGGUCAACACAAUGGCUUAAUAAGGAGAUAAUGAUCUCAAAAUAACAAUUAGUAGAAACAAUACUUGAAAAUGAGAUUUGAAUUUUUUUUUGUUCAUUUCAAGAAAAUGCCAUUAAAAAUGAAUUUCAACCACUUAAAAUAAUCACAUGCCCUUGGAAUCUAUUGUAGAAUUUAAAAUAAAACCAUUCUAUGUACAAGAAAAAUCAUAAAUUAAUUAUCAAUAAAGAAUACUAUGCUAUUUUAACAACAACAAAAAACUCAUUGAAAUCUUCAAGUGUCCAUGACACCCAUAUGAGAUAUAUUUUUAUCACAUUUGUAUCUCACCUCUACUUAUUGACUUUAAUUAUUUUAAUUAACACUGUGAGAUUUAAUUUGAGGAGUCAUAUUUUGAACAAUAAAAAGGUUUCAAGAUGCGAUUUUUUAUUUUUAAUAAAAGUAAAAUAUUUUGGGAAUUUAGUUCUUGAUUCUCUCGAAAGAAAAAAAAAAUUUGCAUUAAGGUGAGAUGAGAAGCUUGGGCACGGAAACGAAGGAUGGAGAAAAUGGAUAUAGGUAGGACUAAAAUUGAAACUUUUGAUAUUCUUUAACUAUAAAAGAGGAUGUGGCUUAACAGAGGGAGUAAAGUGCAACGAAAAAAAUAGGUAGGGGAGAAAGUACAAAUAACACCAAAUAUUAUGGAGACUUGGUACCUUUAACCCUUGAACAAAAUGAUUGAAAAACAAAAAUAUUUAACUCGAGGAUAUGAUUAUGGCUUUAUUAUUAUUUUUUUUGCUCAAUAUUCAAUUAACUUCUACUGAUGGAAAGAUGGGUGCAUCAGAGGAUAGGAUAAGAUGGAAGGAACUGUAAAUAGAAGGUAAGGUAUGGAAUUUAAGAAUUUCCACUUUAAAAAAAAAAAGUGUUGAUGGAAUUGUUGGUUGUCAUUGGUAGCACGAUAGAAGGUGUAGACACGGCUUUGACCAUGUCAAAGUUCGAGUACUUUUUCUUUUCUAAUUUCUACUACUAAUAAAACCAUCCAGUUUUCCCUGCUGUAGCACGAUGCUCAUGAAAGUUUCAACCACAUUUCUUGGUGCAAAAUUGAGGUGCAAUGACGUAGUUAAGGAAAAGACAGAGUAAGAAAAAAGUUUAGUGGAGCCCAUUUCAGAAGUUAACUGCCCCGGAUGAAUUUUCCCGACUGAAUUCACAUUGAUGUCCAUUAUAAACACAAGCAAUGAGUUGGAACUCGUUGAUCUUUUGUUUCUUGCGUACUGUCACUUGAGAAGGUUGGAUGCGUUUUAGUUAAACCAAUCCAAAUUUUCUUCUGAAAAGCUCUCUUUAUCUGCAGUUGGAUGGCACACGUAAACGAGUUCAAACAAAUUCUGAGAUGAUCAAAUGGCACCAUACUUGCUACAGGAAAUCAAAGCUUCAUAGCUGGCAGCAAUAGCCGUCGUACAACAAUUUCAGUGAGAUUUUUCAACAGGCUGAUGUGUUAUCCAUUAUGGAAAUUAAGCAGCUUCAGAGUUCUUGCGGAGGAGGUCAGCAACAAUAGCAUCCCUGACUGAUGGAUGCCAGAACAGAUUAAUUAUUUGAAACAAAAAUGCUGUUGGAAAAAAAGGGGUCACACGCGAAAAGAUCGCUCAAUGAGGUGCAACAUGAAUAAAAUGACCAGACGAUAAAUCUAGGGAUUAGUAUUUUGAACUCCCCAGCCUGAUCAGGGGUGUUCUGCAAAUGGAAAUCCACGCGGCUUCCAUUACCUCUCUGAAAUACGAGUGUGUUUGGAUAGGAGAUUACUAUUUGAAAUAAUUAAUUAUUGUAGUAUUUUUUGUGAUAUAACAGAUCAUAUCGGAGAUUGUUAUUUGAAAUAAUUACUGUAACAUCUUUUAUGAUAUACUCCCUCCGUCUCACUUUGAUAGUCUUGUUUUCCUUUUUCGUCUGUCCCAAAUUGUAGUCCACUUUCCCAUUAAGAAAUGUAGUAAUUUUUUAAAUUGUCUAAAAUACCCUUAUUAAAUAUCUUGUUAUUAAUACAUUGUUAUUAAAUACUAACCCACUACAUUGAAUACAUUGAACUUUUUCAAUACUAACCCAUUAGUUGUAACUGAAAUUAAUUGGCACUCUCUGUGAUUAGCAUAAGGGUAUUUUAGGAAAUUAUUAAUCUAAAUUUAUGUUUCCAACCAAAUUAAUUACACUUUUUUAAUCUGUGUGGGAAAAAAAAAUCAAGACUAACAAAAUGGGACGGAGGGAGUAAUAUUGUAUCACAUAAGAGAAAAAAAUUAUUGAAAAGAUAAAGAAUUGAUUAUUAAUAUUUGGAAGAAAAAAAAAAGUCACACACUCUAGGUCUAGGCUAUGCAAGCAUGAAAAAACUCUGCCACCUUAACACCCAAUUUCUUUAUUGCCAAUAAUUCGUCCCGGAACAGGUAGCGAAUAUUAUUACAUGCAUCUACAGAAAUGUCCACUUCUGCCCAGCCAAGUUAAUGGGAGUUAGUAUGUAAUUUGGCACAAAAUCCAACCCUUUCGCGUACCUCUAUUGAAACAGUUAAUGGUUUCGUGUUCUUUUAUCGAUUGGUUAUUCCUCUCCAUUUUUAUAUCUUUUUUCAAUUUUGGUCUCGAUUAGUUCACAAGAUUGAAUGGCAAAUUCUAAGACCAGCCAAGAUGUUGAUUGAAGUUGAUGCUGGGAUGCCCGCAUUACUUCAAGGAGCUUAGUUUUAGACAACCACACGGCCCAAAAGAAACUAUGACAAGAAGUUAUGAAUCUGCUGUAAAAAAAAAAAGGGGGUUUGAUGUGGGUGCUUGCUCCUUGUCCUAUUUGUCGGAGUUGCCUCGUUUCAUACUCUUAUUGAUCUUUGCCCGGACAAAAUUGCAGGGUCACUACGCGACGCGACCGGGGAUGCGGAAGGAUGUGGAUCUCCUGCAGUUGGUAGGAGAAAAUGAGCUACACAAAUAGUUAGUGGUGAGGAAUGGCAACUGUGGCGAAACAGAAGAUGGGAUCCCCAUACAGAAGAUGGGAUUGGGCUUUUCAUCUCAUCUCGUUGACUCAUUUUCGCCCUUCUUUUCUCGCAAUAGUUGGCAUUAAUAUUUUUUGGCCAUGGCUUUUCCAGGGUGGUUGUUUGUUUGUUUCUUAGGUAGUUUGGACGAGAACGAAAAGAACGGGUUGUUGGAGAUGAUGAUGCUGUUGGAAAUUAGGAGUUCUUGGAACGAUUUUUUACUCUCUCUUUUUUUUUCCAUGUUUUCUUUUUGCUUUCCUAUUUUCCGUUAUUACUCUCACUUUUUCCUAGCAUUGUUGCUCCAUGGCUUUCAACAUUUAAUUCCCUUCUCUUUACUUACUAUUUUUAUUUUUUUUAAAAUCUUUCUUGCUUUAUCUUUUAUCUAUGUUUCGUCAUUCGGCUUUGUCCUGAAACAAAAUUCAUUUUGCAGGGCAUACAUUCUCCUGGAGCGAUUAAUUGUCAGUAGAGGAAAAUGAAUUACAGAAGAGAUAAAGCAUCAAUAGAGAUGCGAAACAAAACAUAAACAAACGAGGAACAAGUUUACAACAAGAAAUUAAUUCGGACUUGCGAAGAACAUAAAACAUUUCCCAUUGUGCUUGUCCCGAUAAAUAAUUUAGCUGUUUCAGCCCCCCCAAGACUAGAGUUCUCCACCAAUCCCACCUCCAGCUCCACCUCCUCCGCCAAAUCCUCCUCCUAUCCCACUACCACUACCAACGCCUACGCUCGAACCUCCUCUAAAGCUGCCACCUCCUCCUACUCCUCCAAACUCUCCGCCAGCACCUCCUCCAAAUCUUCCACUGCCACCAAAUCCUCCACCUCCUACACCACCUCCACUUCCACCACCUACACCAAUUCCUUUGCCAAUGCCAUCUCCAAAUCCUACUCCUGCACCACCUCCUAUAACCCCUGCUGAACCGCCACUACCGGCUCCAACCCCACCACUUGCACCUCCACCUCCGCCUCCUAUACCCCCUGCUGAACCACCACUACCGGCUCCAGCCCCACCUCCUAUUACUCCACCGGUACCACCACCUGCACCUCCACCUCCUAUACCCCCCGCUGAACCACCACUACCGGCACCAGCCCCACCUCCUAUUCCUCCACUGGUACCACCUCCUGCACCUCCACCCCCUAUACCCCCACUCGAACCACCUCCAAUGGCCCCGCCAAGCCCUCCACCCUUACCAGUUCCACCUCCUAUUCCUCCACCCGAACCACCCCCAGUGCUACCACCUUUACCAAUCCCACCUCCAAUACCUCCACCUUUGCCAACGCCACCUCCUAUGCCCCCUGCUGAACCACCACUACCAGUUCCAGCCCCACCUCCUAUUCUUCCAUUGGUACCACCUCCAGCGCCUCCAUCCCCUAUACCCCCACUUGAACCACCACCGAUGCCUCCACUAGAACCACCUCCAAUGGCCCCGCCAAGCCCUCCACCCUUACCAGUUCCACCUCCUAUUCCUCCACCCGAACCACCCCCAGUGCUACCACCUUUACCAAUCCCACCUCCAAUACCUCCACCUUUGCCAACGCCACCUCCUAUGCCCCCUGCUGAACCACCACUACCAGUUCCAGCCCCACCUCCUAUUCUUCCAUUGGUACCACCUCCAGUACCACCUCCACCCCCUAUACCCCCACUUGAACCACCACCGAUGCCUCCACUAGAACCACCUCCAAUGGCCCCGCCAAGCCCUCCACCCUUACCAGUUCCACCUCCUAUUCCUCCACCCGAACCACCCCCAGUGCUACCACCUUUACCAAUCCCACCUCCAAUACCUCCACCUUUGCCAACGCCACCUCCUAUACCCCCUGCUGAACCACCACUACCAGUUCCAGCGCCACCUUCUAUUCUUCCAUUGGUACCACCUCCACCCCCUAUACCCCCACUUGAACCACCACCGAUGCCUCCACUAGAACCACCUCCAAUGGCCCCGCCAAGCCCUCCACCCUUACCAGUUCCACCUCCUAUUCCUCCACCCGAACCACCCCCAGUGCUACCACCUUUACCAAUCCCACCUCCAAUACCUCCACUUUUGCCAACGCCACCUCCUAUACCCCCACUUUUGCCAACUCCACCACCUUUACCAAUCCCAUCUCCAAUACCUGCACCCUUGCCAAUGCUACCUCCAAUGCCUCCACCCUUGCCAACGCCACCUCCUAUUCCGCCACCCGAACCACCUCCAAUGCCUCCACUCUUACCAAUCCCACCUCCUACUCCGCCACCCGAACCACCUCCAGUACCACUACCUUUACCAAUCCCACCUCCUAUUCCGCCACCCUUGCCAACGCCACUCCCUAUUCCGCCACCCGAACCAGCUCCAAUGCCUCCACCCUUGCCAACGCCACCUCCUAUUUUGCCACCCGAACCACCUCCAAUGCCCCCACCAGAACCACCUCCAAUGCCUCCACCCUUGCCAAUGCCACCUCCUAUUUCGCCACUCGAACCACCUCCAAUGCCUCCAGUCUUACCAAUCCCACCUCCUACUCCGCUACCCGAACCACCUCCAGUGCCACCACCUUUACCAAUCCCACCUCCUAUUCCACUACCCUUGCCAACGCCACCUCCAAUUCCGCCACCCGAACCACCUCCAAUGCCCACACCAGAACCACCUCCAAUGCCCCCACCCUUGCCAAUGCCACCAUCUAUUUCGCCACUCGAACUACCUCCAAUGCCUCCACUCUUACCAAUCCCACCUCCUACUCCGCCACCCGAACCACCUCCAAUACCACCACCUUUACCAAUCCCACCUCCUAUUCCACCACCCUUGCCAACACCACCUCCAAUUCCGUCACCCGAACCACCUCCAAUGCCUCCACCCUUGCUAACGCCACCUCCUAUUUCACCACCCGAACUACCUCCAAUGCCCCCACCAGAACCACCUCCAAUGCCUCCACCCUUGCCAAUGCCACCUCCUACUCCGCCACCUUUACCAAUCCCACCUCCAAUACCUUCACCUUUACCCUCGCCAACGCCACCUCCUAUUCCGCCACCCGAACCACCGAAAUUGAAGGAGUGGCCGAGGCUGUAGCCCUUCGAAAUACCACCACUGCCUAGACCCUCAUUCCCACUCCAACUAGCAGCAGCAGAGCUACCACCACCAACAAACCAUUCUGGUAAAUUCUUCUUCACACUCGCUCCCACUUCCACAUCACCGUCAUUAAUAUUCUUUGACUCCCAACUACUCUCUGCACAUAUUGCGGCCGCCAACGUUAAGAACAAAACGAGAACCAGGACAAUUAGCCUCUUCCCAACCAUGUCAGAAUCCUUGCCACUAGUUAUACAAGAAUCAGUACAAUCUAGCUAGCCAGACACGAUUAGCUGUUUAUAGAUGAACAAAAUGGGGUGAUGCUCUGGCGUUAGUUAAGGAGAACACGACGUUACUCUCCACUUCUCAACUAAAUGUUCUCUUUUCCAUCCAACUUGUUAUUCCCUACUUAUUCGCUUUUAUGGCAAUUGUACGUAAGAAGCCAAACAAGGGAAACCAUAAACUAUUCUAGAAAAAAGGUUCUGGGUUGACGGGGCAACGAUCCUUGAACAAAUUCAUUGCCUGCUGUGAUCAAUAUUGUGCUCUUUACAACAAGCAUCCGGCUCGCUCAAGUCAUGACCAAGUGCCCCCUCCGUGCAUAUACUACUCUACUGUACCAGUACGUACGUGACUGCUCUAAAUAGCGCCGUAGCCAGGCAUGGUCUCCAUGGCCACCGCGCCGUGUUGGAUCAUGCAUGUCCAUGCUAUGCUGUUAAUAUUUGCUCCAUCUCUUACAUCACACGCAACCAUGCAAGUAUGCAUGCAACUGGCUAGCUAGCUAGGGAGCAUAUGAUGCAAGUCCAAUUUCCAAUCCUUCAUUACUAACUAAAUCUCCAAUUUUGCUUGUCAAGAUACGGGGUUGAAAAGUUUCCAUUUUCUAUCGUUACUAUUCACCAAAAAAAAUUAUAAGUGCAAAUUUCUUUUCACCUUUUUACGCAAAAAAAUUAAUCUGAUAAAUACGUUAUACCAUAUUCUGGAGUCAAUUGAUUAUUAGAUCAAUUUUAACUUGAACUAUAGUUUCAUUUUCAUGUAGUCUUGAUCUCUUUUUCCUUCUCUAAGCCAAUCAAAAGUCCUUCUCAGAAUUUGUGAACUUAUCAAACAUUAAUAUAAGUAUUCUGUCUAACUUUUGAAUUUGUUUAAUUUGUCUUUAUCAAGUAUUUAUAAUCCAAAUAGAAUUGUUGCUCAUAUUUCAUUACAAGCGUAGCGUGUGUCGCCUUUUUCCUGAGGUUAAAUGGACCGGGGGGGGUUUGGGGUUGCGUCUAUGGUGGAAAGCUGAGUCAGCUUUGUACCGUAGGCAGAACAAAUGGAAUCAGGACAGCACAUGAGCAUGGGCCAGGCAAAGGACAGCGACCGUGAAAUAGCUACCGAAACCGGGCAGAAGGAGUUGUAAAGAUGGGACCCACUUUAGUAUAUGAACUGUAUUAUUGUAAAUAAACAUGCACCCGCACAAGUUGUGGGCAUGUUUUAUGAAUCCCAAAACAAACUACGGUUACCUGAUGAUGAUUAACAUCAGGUAAGCAUUUAUAGUUUAAGAUUGGAGUACACAUGGCUUAAUUAGAUGAUUUAUUAGAAACAUAAUUAGCACAGUACUUCAAGAAAUUAGAAUCGUGACAUAAUUGACCCAGUAGAUUUUAAUUUAAAUUUAGAAAUUAGAUAAAUAAUCUUAUAUGUAACAUGGUGACUUUUAAAUUAAUAUCAAAUUUGUAGAUGGUAAUCAUAAACUUAAUUAACAUAGCACUUCAAGAAACUAGAAUUGAGAUUGUAGAUAAAAUAAUCAUAAAUUUUAGAAGAAAAUACUCUCCUCUUUGAAUAAUAAAAAAUUUAGAGUGGCAAGUAUUAAUCUCUUUUUCUUGGUAAUCUUAUUAAUAUUGAAAAAUAUAUAUAAAAAGAGAGAGAGAGAGAGAGAGAGAGAGAGAGAGAGUGAGAGAGAGAGAGAGAGAGACCUAGAAUUUGUCUUAUGCACUAAUAUAAUAUUAAGUACCAAUCAUUCAUUGACUUUUCUUUCUCUUUACUUACAAUUGAUCAUUAAUUCAUUUUGCAUACUCUCAAAACAUUAAGUUUAAAAAAAUUACUCAUGGUUUGGGGAUUGCAUCACAUAUUUCAUUAAUUUUCACAACAAAAUGAUCUACACAAAUUAUGGCAUGCAUCUAGGUAGUUAGUUAUACACUAUCAAUUUAUUUUAGAUUAAUCUUUUUUUAUACCAUCCAUCCAAUAUUUGGAAUUUCCGAUUUCAAUUUCGUUUUAUAAUAUAUAUAUUAAUAUUUAUUUAUUUAUUUAUAGAUAUAAUAAUAUUUUUUAUUUCAAUUUCAUUUUAUAAUAUGUAUAUUUAUGUAUAUUUAUAUAUAUAAUAAUAUUUUUAUAAUAUUUUUAUAUAUAAUAAUAUUUUUAUAAUAUAUUUAUAUAUAAUAAUAUUUUUUAUAAUAUAUGCAAUAUAAAAUUUAUAUUAUAUAACAACACAUCUAACAAAAAAGAAAAAAAAGGUUUCCGAAUUCGGUGAAUUAAAAAUUUACCAAAUUCCGAAUCGAAUUUGGAAUUGAAAUCGAAAUCGGAAUUGGUGAAUUCGAAAUUGAAAUCGAUCGGUAAUUCCUAUGCCAAAAUUCCAAAAAAUUUCGAAUUCAAACUUCUGAAUUACCGAAUUCGAAUUCGAUGCACACCCCUACCAAGAAACUAGAAUUGAGAUUAUAGAUAAAAAGUUCAUAAACAUAAAUCACAUAAUACAAAAGUUUCAAAGAUUGAACGUUUGAACUAUUGAAAUAACUAGAUAGUUACCAACUUAAGUUCUAACUCUGCAACUAGUUGUACUGGACAUGACAAACUAUAAAUCACAAAAUUGACUAGUAAAAUAGUGUCAAAAUUUGAGAAUUUUUAAAUAUUAACAUUAUCUAAUGAUAAGGAUAACCAAUUAUAGCAAAAAUCAAAAUUUACUCUUAAAAGUAAGUACUGAAUUAAAAGAUUUUGUUGUGAUAAGGAUUAUCUAAUAAGAGCAAAUCCAUUGAAACAAACAAACAAUGACAUCUAUAUAAAUGUCAAUUACAAUCUCGUAUUCAAAUUAAUAUACAUAUCCAAACAAUGCACUUGACGAUAAAAUAAAGAGGUGAGAUCCAACACAUUAUUUAAAACACCAACAUUGUUUAGAGUAGUUACAGUAGUUAUAUUGGCAAAAUGUGAUUAAGUAGUCAGAGUAAAAAUUAGUUUUUCUUUAAGGAUAAAAUAGAAAGUUUGAAAAAUGACAUAAAAAUGUUUACACUAACUGCGAUCUCUCUAACUUUAUAUGUUGAAUAGAUAGUAGCUUUUUAAUUAGAAUCAAAAUUAUAGAUGAUUUAUUAGAAACAUAAUUAACACAAUACUUCAAGUAACUAUAAUCGUGACAUAAUUAACCUAGAAGAUUUUAAUUUAAAUUUAGAAAUUAGAUAAGUAAUCUUAUAUGUAACAUAGUGACUUUUAAAUUAAUAUCGAAUUUGUAGAUGAGUAAUCAUAAACUUAAUUAACAUAGUACUUCAAGAAACUAGAAUUGAGCUUGUAGAUAAAAUAAUCAUAAAUUUUAGAAGAAAAUACUCUUCUCUUUGAAUAAUAAAAAAUUUAGAGUAGCAAGUAUUAAUCUCUUUUCCUUGGUAAUCUUAUUAAUAUUGAAAAUAUAUAUAUAUAUAUAUAUAUAUAUAUAUAUAUAUAUAUAUAAAGAUUAGAAUGGAGAGAGAGAGACACAGAGAGAGAGAGAGAGACCUAGAAUGUGUCUUUUGCGCUAAUAUAAUAUUAAGUAUCAAUCAUUCAUUGACUUUUCUUUUUCUUUACUUACAAUUGAUCAUUAAUUCAUUUUGCAUACUCUCAAAACAUUAAACUCGUGGUUUGGGAUUGCAUCGUAUAUUUCAUGAAUUUUCACAAAAAAAAUGAUCUACACAAAUUAUGGCAUGCAUCUAGGUAUUUAGUGUAUACACUAUCAAUUUAAUUUAGAUUAAUAUUUUUUUAUACCAUCCAUCCAAUAUUUGGGAGCAUCACUAAGUGUUGUUAAUACACAUUUUUCAUCUAUUAAAUUCCUUUUGUGUCUUACUAUUAAGAGUAUUUAAUAUUUCCUCACAUAUAUAAAAGUUACGGUUUCUUGAGUAGUUUUGUUAAUUAAUUAUUUACCAAUUACUCACCCUCCUUUCUGUGCCUUUCUUUUGUUUUUAAGCACUUCAUUUGUAAAUUUUCAGUUAAUGUUAGUAAUUACCAAAUAAGUAAAUACCGUACAAAAAUCACCAUAUCAUAAAAAUUCUUUUACAAAUUAAAUUUCAAAUUGAAAAACCAAUUUUCAUGAAAAAAUACAUUUUUAAAUGACCAUAAAAUUAAUUAUUUCUACAUACAUAGGGAAACUUAAUGCAACAGUGGUAGAAUUUAAGUGAUUCUUUGACUUUGUUCUUUUAUUUAUUUAUUUAUUUAUUGCUUAAGUUUAUCAAUUAUUGAUCCAUUUUUCACUCUCUUAUAAUAUUAAGUUAAAAAAAAUUAGCAUCUACACCAACCAAUUUAUAUCAAUGUUGCUGUCCACUGCUUCAGGUAAUAUAAACUUUGCCGGUUACCUUUGGGACCCAAACAAAUAGACAAAGAUGCCUAUGCUGAGUUGUCAUCUUAGCAAUAGUUCUGCCUACGGUGCAUAGUUGAUCCGACUUUCCACCGUAGAAGCAACCGGGGGUUUGGUGUCUAAAAGGGAAACUUGUAUGUAUGCCCUGUUCUUUUGUCUGCAAAUCUUUCAGGCAAUCCGAUCGUGACCUGUUGUGCCAGAAGACUCUGAUCAUCGAUGUCAGGUUAAAUAGUAACAACAAUGGAAGCAACUUUACAAUUUUUGGUACCAAAAUAUUUUAUUCACGGCCAAGGCAUUAGUCUUCUCCUUUUUGGGUGCAUUCCAAAAAGAACAAACGUGUCUUGAAUACUUUUCAACCAAAGUACUACUGUAAUAGUAGUAUUUUUGUGCCACGUCCAAGACGUUUUUAGAAAUGUUUGCAAAUACAGGCAUCGGCACAAGCUGAUAAAUAAGUUUCCCAUUCGAAACCAAUACUAUUUAAUGAAAGUGUAAAAUAACAAAUUGUAUAUAUAGAUAAGAAUAGAUGUAUGCCUGCUUAGGAUAUAUUAUACAUAGCUCUUGCAAAAUUGUAUUCCCUGAAGGAAAAUAAUUAAGUGGACUUUCAUGAUAUCCGAAAAUAAUAAAAGCAUCAGUUUGCCUUUAUUCCAUCGUAGCAAUUUUGUGAUUUUGGUUCAAAUACUUAAAGUCAAGUCCCCUAUUUUAUCUUUCUCAAUUGUAAAGUUCAAAAAUAUCUUUUAAAAUUUUUUUUUUAAAAAAAAAGAAAGAUAUUCUUGUAAAAAGCAUACCCAGUGGCAAGUCACCCAUUGAAAAAUAGCAAAUCCUAUACGCCAGUCAAAAGCUUACGUCAUCUUCUGUCUAUUAUCCUUCCUGAUUUAUGCCUUUCCCCGCCUCUCACUGAUCCUCAAAACCCUAAUCAAAACCUCAAAAAAUUGAUGAUAUUCGAGGUUUACAUAAAAUUAGUAGUUUUUUCCUCUUUUCUUAUCUAAUCUAAAUCUAAUCGUUUGAGCAAUGGAUGAUUCCGAUGAAGAAGGUCCGUAUUUAACAAAGCCCACAUUUCGAUCAAAGCCAGCAAUUCGAAACCCUCACUCUUAUCCGCUCAACACCCAUUACACCACAAACGACGCCAUCUUUGCCCAGGAAGAUGACGAAUUUGAGGAUGACGAAGAAAGCCCACAAUUUCAAAAUGCUCAAAGCGGGUAUUAUUAUCAAUCUUUCUAUGAGGAUGAGCCCAAGCGAAGCAAAAAGAAAAGAAAGUUGGAAUCUUUGGUCCCAAAUUACGAGCUUGCCCCUCGCGCUGGGCUGAAUGCACCAAAAAGUUCCAAUCUUGGUGGUGGGAGCUCGAGGGAUUCCUGGAAUGAAGAGGAGAGCUUUGUGCUGUUGGAGGUUUGGGGGGAGAGGUAUUUGGAGCUGGGGAGGAGGAGUUUGAGGGCUGAGGAUUGGGCUGAGCUGGCCGAGAAAGUCUCCGAGAUGAGUGGAAGGGAGAGGAAUGAGAUGGAGUGCAGGAAUCAAUUGGAUGUAUUAAAGCAGAAAUACAAGAAAGAGCGGGCGAAAAUGGAGAAAGUUGGAGGUGGAUUCUUGAGCAAGUGGGUGUUUUUUAAGAAAAUGGAUGUGUUAUUGAAUCUGAGGAUGAGAGGGCAUGUUGGCUUGGGUUGUGGGGUUGAUUCUGGGGAGUACGUGUUUAUGAAUCCGCGGGUGUAUUUGGAUAAGUCUAAUGUGUUGGAUGAGAUGAGGGAUAGUCCUGGAGUGUCUGAUGAGGAGAAUGAGGAGGAAGAGGAGGGUUUGGGACUAGGGAAGGACGAGGAGGAUGGAGAAUCGGCUAGACUGUUGGCUGACUCGAUUCAGAGGUUUGGAGAGAUUUAUGAGAAGAUUGAGAGUAGUAAGAGGAGACAAAUGAUGGAGCUGGAGAAGAUGAGGAGAGAUUUUCAGAGGGACUUGGAGUUGCAAAAGCAGCAGAUAGUUGAGAGGGCACAGGCUGAGAUUGCUAAAAUAAGAGAAGGGGUUGAAGAGGAGGAUGAUGACGAGGAAGAAGAUGAUGACGAGGAGGAGGAAGAUGAUGACGAUGUUCAGAAUGAGAAUAUCCAGGUGUGAUACAGGUAAUGCUCAGCAAAUCACUCAAGUGUGCCUGAUUAAAUACUAUUGUCUACAAGGCUUCUACAUGUGUUAGUAUAAGAGUGUGGAUGAGUGUUGCUUUGACACUACCUAUUCAGUUCCUGUUUGCCUGCUGCUAGUUUUUGAUUAUUUGGAAACUUUAGUACCUUUUCUGUCGAUAGUUGUAUGCAUGUAAGAGUUGUGCUUGGCAUUAAACUAUAAUCUUCAUUAAUUGAAGCUGAUUGCUUUUCUAUUUGUUCCAAGUUGGAAAAAUCCUAUACGGCCUACGAAAAGACUUGAACUUUGUCUUCUCAAAAUCAAUACUCCUUUGACAAGUGGUCUGUUGCAUAUGAUUUCCAAGCCUGUUUCGUUGUGUACCAUAGAAUUUUGUCUGAUCAAAUUAUUGAUCAGAAUCAAUUCCUCUGCUGUAGUAAAGAUUGAAGUUCAGAGAAUUUUUUUUGUGGUUCUUUUCUUCCUUUUUUUUUUGACAAUUCUCUAGUAAAACCUUUUCUUUUUCAUAUAAUUAACUCUUCCGAAAGGGAAGAAUAUCUUACGAAGAUAAAGAGAUGAAGUUGUUAGGUUGAUUACAAAUUGUAGAAAAUUCAAAUUCUACUUUCUAUAGUUCUUUGCUGCUAUUAUGAGGGCAAUGAGUUGGACAUCAAUAUCAGAAGAGGAGAAGUUGAAAUGUCAAUUCCUCCUGGCAUUGUCUCUAUGAUGUACUCGUCAUGAAAUUUAGGGAUAUUGAUGACCAGUCUUAGCUUUAUAGAAAGACUUGCUUGAGGUUUCAGCAUAGCAAGUUAUAUUUGUGCAGGGUUGUAAGCUUGUCAAAUAUUGAAAUAGCCUCGUAAAAGAGCAAUGUGGAAAUAUUUAUGAACUGUGAAGUGAUCAGGGUCAUCGGAUGUCUUGCACCUUUAAUCUUUUUUGUUUUUAUAGGCAUAAGAUUGUCUUUAGUUUAAAUUAACAAUACGAGAAGGUUCCUUAUUGUCUUUGAAAUUUUUGGAUUAGUUUUGGUGCAAUGAUGCUCAAAACCUUGUAGUAAAUUGGUAGCUUUUCUGUAUCUUUAUCACAAAAAGUCUGUUUAAAAAGUACACUUGGUUAUGCAGUUUAUGUGCAGCGCUCCGAGGCAAUCUGCUCGUUGUGGUCAAACACAUAAUUGCAGCAUCACCAAUUAAGUGUUGCUUUUGUCCUACUAAGACUUCGCCUGAUAUUUAAAUUUUCAAAGAACAGUUUCAUGUUGAAAGGACACGCAUAUGACUGUACUUAUUCUAUUUGCAGGAGGGAGAGCGUUUAUGAGAAAUGAAGGUCACCCUUCUACUGGACUUCAGCAUCGAUGGCCAACUGCCAGAGUGGUUGUUUUGGGAAAGUUUUGGCUCUUUUUGAGUACCUCGCCAUAUACCUUUUGUUUCUUUUUUGGUGCAAGGGUAAUUUGGAAUUACUCCAUCUUGCAAGUAUGACAAUGAAUUUCUGUAUCUACUGUUAGGCUUUAGUAUGAAAUCUGGUAUUUUUGGUUAGGUACAGUAGCUUUCUAUUCUCUAUCUUUCUAAUUACCACAACAUGUUAGCUCAAUUUUGUUUUCCACCAGCAUCUACUUCUUGUUUGAUAUGAAACAAUAAAAUGGGAAUCCAUGUGAAAACACAUUCUUGAUCACCUUAUUAUAUGUCAUACAUUAAACUAUCAAAAUACUGUAACAUUAUUCGAAAAACAUUUUUCCAGGUGAUGGGCAGCCCAAAUGGAUUUGCACCACUGGCAAUAUUCUGUUCCUACUUGACUUUUAUCAGCACAUUCUCGUCGGAAUUAAAGCCUCACUCACAUGACAUCUUAUGAAGGGAACUCAUUUGUUGCUCAUCAGUGCCAUUAAGAUGUGCAUCAUUAGCCGUUUCCUUUUCUUUGUAUUACCCUAUUUAUCUACGUUGUAAUUUAGCGUCUGACAAAUUCAAGUUUAUCACACAGAAACUGGUCAUGCUACAAACAAAUGCAAAAAGUUUAACUCGAUUCUGAUCUGUUAUCAUUCUCUUUCAAAUGGGUUGGUUGCGCAGCUUUGGGUAAUCGGUCCAACGGCAUAAACACAACUCGUUGGGCAUGAUAAUUUCUUUGGUUUGAUAACUCUCUACUCUCUCUUAAAUAAAUUAACACUGCAUUGAAAAUCUAACGAACAAAAUAGAUCCACUCCUAGACAGUAGAUACAUUUGGCUGGAUCAAUCAACCAGCGUAAAAAAUGGAACAUGGUAAAAUGAAUUCCCAACUACGGUGCACCAGGAAAUAGUUCGUCCUUGAGUGACGGAGCAAUCCACUGUAUCUGAACAUAGGUUAUCUCCCACAGGUCAUCACCUUCUUUGGGAAUUAACAACUCGUUUUCCUUCAUUAUUGAGAUAAUCCUUUUUAGUAAAUCCGGUAUUACCUCUUGCAUAUCUGAUUUGCCAUACCCUCCCAAAUCUACCUUCAUGCACGUAUCCAUUCUUCGCAACAGUCCCAUCCAGAAAGGCCUAAAAUGAGGACUUUCUGAUAUCGGUUUCAAAAGCUGCGAAUAAACUUCCACUAAGACCUCCAUUGCACGCUUCAAACUUCCUUCCAUGCUUCGAGUUUCUCUUUCUGCAUUCUCCCUCCUUGAAUAUUCCAGCAUCUUCUCGUGUAUAUCAUCAACCAUGGCAAAGAUCAAGCUGUUAAAACAGUAAAUACAGUUUGCCGGUGUAAAACACAGCUCCUCAGCCAGGAUGAAGCUUCUCUGAAGAGAAAUGACCGCAUGGUUUCUCACUUCUUCUCUCCUGGCUAAGCAUGUCCGUCGAAGGGCUUCACCUAGUUUGACAAAUAAGUUCAUGAUGAAGCUGGCAGAGCUGCCUGAUCUUGCAUUGUCUUCCGUGGAAGAGGCGCUUGCGUUGCUUCCCGUACUAACAUUGCUACCCGGAUCUGAGUACCCACUUCUAAACCACUGAACCAACAAUUUCACUGAAUCAGACAUGAGGUCCAUAAUUUUUAUGUUCUUUUCAACUGGACUAUUCUUGAGUGCAACAAAACCAAAUGCACAUUCAAUACAGGAGGCAUAGUUAGUCCGCGAUAUGUGCAUUCCAUCAGACAUCAAAUUGAUGAGUGACUCAACUCCUUGAUCAUAUGUUUCAGGAUGACGUCCAGUGACUGACAACAAAUGCAGGACAGUCUUCCAUCCUAGGCUACUCUGCAAAUUUGCAGGGUACUCGUUCAGGAUUCUGCUCACCGACUUUACUAGGAACUCUGAGCAAGUGUCAAGAAUUUCUUUUUCCAACUUCCACAUUAGAUUUAUGGAUUUAAAGAUGAGUUCCUCAGAGACUUUAUCAAGUUGAUAUGCAGAAAGGAUCUUGAGGCAGAUUUUCAUCUGAGCUACAAUGGCUUUUUCUGCAAAUGGGAUUGGUGAAAACAGAGGAAAUUGGGCAACUCCAAGCAGAUAAUCAUGGUAGUGAGGCCAAAUGGUUGAGAAUCUGUGCAUAUUAACACAAGAAAUGAUGACAAUCAAAUCCCAACAGAAUGCCACAGUUUCUUCCUCCUCAACGGGAGUGCUGAACUUUUGGCCUUUCCCAGCUGAUGCAUAUAUAAGAGCACGCCCAAGAUUCAGUAAUGAUUCAUCGGGUAAACUUGAACUGGUGGUGAAAAUGUUUUCAAUAUGGCAUUGCUGGAUAAUGUUUUGAUUCUGUUCAAAUUCACUGACUCCAAGGUUUAGAGAUUCUUCCACGCUCUCCAAUGAUAAGAAGUGUGAAAAUCGACCAAUUAAGCCAGAGGAACGGCGUAUAUGGUUGAAUUUUGUAUUACGGGUUGAAAUAGAUGCUGCUGACUCAUUUUUAUCAUGCUUCGUUCCAAUAGAUGCAUCUGAAGCAAUUUCAAAUUCGACAACCGAUUGUGGAAGUAACUUGAGCCUUCUGAGUUUCAACAAGCACUCAACAAUAGUUCUCCAACUCCCUCGAAGGGAAUUUUUGAAAGUGUUUGCAAUAGUGAAAACUGCGAGUGUCGCCAUCCUUGGCUUCAUAUCAUUGCUGAAAGCAUACAGGGUUUCUUCUGCUGAUGCAUAAGGAUUGAGCAAGGUAGUGAAUUUGCAAAACGAACAAAUAAGCUCAUCAAGAUUGUCUUCUAAUUCAUAUUGAGCUAUUCUAGCUAUUGCAAACAAUAACUCAAUGCAUUCAUGGAGAAUUUCCUCUUCUUCAGUUUGCUCAAAAAUUGCUGCAAGAGUUGCAACUGAGGGUCCAGCAAUAGCAGCAAACAUAUCUCUUCCUAAUCGACGAUCAAAAUUACACAAUACAUAUGGCUUCAUGAGUUUGGCUCGGUUGACUAGCUGAAUCCAUCUACUCGGAUUCAUUUCUGCAGGUGUACCUGAUUGACCAAAGAGUGUGAUCGCUUUGGAUGAUAUAGAAUGAAAAAGCUCAGAUAAAUAUUCUCUAGGGAGAUCACUUCCGCCAUUGAUUUCUCGAUUGUUCCUGAUGAAUUCCUCUUCUGUCAUCUUUUUCUUAACUUGCGGGUUGUGUUGAUCAGUGUUCAGCAUGAUGAGAGAAUAGCAAAGAACAAACACGGCAUCCUUGCUCACAAAAAGUUCCGAGGACUGCUGAUCAUAAAAUCUUUCUGAAAAUGCUUCAAGUAUUCUGUGAAUCUUCUGAGACUCUCCCGGUAAUCUGAAAGUCUCCAAAUAAUUCCGUAAAGCUGAAUCCAAUAUCAUACCUGUAAAUACAAAUGUAUUUGUAAAUUCAUUGAGGACUUGAAUAUGGAAUUCAUCAGGAUCACCAAGAUAAUCCCCAAUCAUGGUCUUGUCAAGUCUUGGGGUGAAACGGAAAAACAAAGCGAAAGCUUUUGGAUCAGGAGGAUCAGGGAUUAAGUGAGAAAUUUUCAGAUACUCCAACCCUUUCUUGUCAUCUUGAUUGAAGUGAUUUCCAGCAAUGAGUAGCUUCUUCUUUUGUGCCUUUCUUACUCUAACAAAAGUCACCCAAUCCUCUAGACCAUCAUCUUUUGAAAUCUCCUCCCAGAAAGGUGUAUACUCAGUGAUUUCAACUGGAUAUGGUCCAGAAGGGCAUGUAUCAUCUUCCUUAUCGAUGUUCUCUGCAAUAUUAUGAAUGACAAGUACAAGGCCUUCAAAUGCUUGGACCUGUAAACUUGUCAAAGGGCCACCAGUUGGGAAUGCAUGCUUGCAAAGCAACCUGCCUAUUUCUUCAAACGCAUUCCCAAAAAUAGGAUCACAAUCAUAAUUCACAUAGACUUCGAUUAUGAAGGUAGAUUGCCGACAGAAAUUCACGAUUGCUUCAGUUGCAAGUUCUUGGAGUUGGGGAGAGCUUCCAAGAUUUGCAGCUCUGAACAAAACAAAUGAGAAGAAAGCUUCUAAUUGUAGACGAACGGACCUGCAAUUGGCCGAGGCAUUUCGGUUAAUUAUUGAUUGACCUUUAUAGAAGCCCAAGAAUUAAGUUUGUGCUUGAUUUGGAUAUGCUAACCUGCGAAGGAAGUGAUAGAUAUUCAGAACAGUACUGCAGAUCAUUGACAAAACUAGUGGGCUUGAGUACGUCCCGUAGUAUAUUAAAUGGUGAAAUAAGUCAUCUUGGACCAUCCUCAAAAGCUUUGGGUGCUUACCUAUGCUGUCACCACUCAAUUCUAUCGCAGAAUUGAUCAAAGCCAAGGCAAAAAGCUGAACGUCUCCAUCAGUUGUAUGAGCAUGCAAAACCUCUGACUCUGCAAUUUCAACCACAUUAAGUAAAGAGCAUAAGAAUUGAAAGAUAUCCACAGCCGAGCGAAUUCCAAACCCCGAAUCCAAAUUGCUAUCUUCUGUAUCUGAUUCAGAGUUCUCCCAAUCAUUCACCUCAAUAUCUGGCAACCGAUAAUAUAUUAUUUGGAUCAGUUCCUGCAUUGUGUACCUUGCACUGCGCUGAAGCAAGUUGCCACGAUGGGCCGACUGUUGGACAACCUGAAAGCAUGUAUUGACCACAGUACAAACUGCAUGAUCAGUGAGCAAAACAGAAGCUUUAUGCCUCAUAACAGCAGUCAAGACGUGCAAAAUUCUCAUCAUGACAGCCUCCUCAGAAACAGGAUCAGUUUUCUCCAGGCGACAAGCCGUGAUUGCAGUCACAGUUGCAUCCAUAACAUCUUUAGCCCCAGGAGUCUUCUCAUCAAAUAUAUCAAGCCUGAGGAUCUUCAGGAUGGAUGAAAGGGCCACCCCCGUUGCUGCUGCAGGAAUGUCAUCGCUUUGUAUUACAUCAAGAAAAGGUGACAGGUAGAGAGACGGAUCAAUCUUCCGCCAUUCUUGCUCAGCAUUGAAGAUGAGUGACCUUAAUGAUUUUAAAGAUUGGAGUAUCGUGGAAUCAUAAUUUUCUUCAGAAGGGUGGUGAAAUUGGGGGUUUGCUUCAGGUAUUCGUCGAAUCACAGCUAGAACAGCUCCAACCUCAGCAUUCAACAUGCAAGACAAUCCCAGCUCCUUUCUUUUUAUCUUAGUCAUGUUGUUGUUGUUUCCUCCUUCUUGCUGAUCUUCCAUUAAUCCUGUUUUGCAGAUUUAGUGCUGAUAAAAAACAUCUCUUGAAGUUCGAAAAACGGUUUGGAAAUAAUGGUGGUGACGGGGGAUGUGUCCUGUUAAGUCAGCGGAUGAAGUUACUUCUUUAACCAUGUAGAUCAAUUGUGUAAAGGACUAAGGAUGCAUUGUGAAAUGUUAGAAAGAUAGGCGGAAUGUUUGCUAAAGAAAUGGCUGUGAUAAUUCACUGAAGUUAUUAUUUGGUUUGUAUGGUUAAAACUGCGUGCUUUGAAUAUGUCUGCCACCGACCUCUCCUAGUCUUUUUCCUUCUUCUGUUACACUUGGCAAUAAAUUAUGUAUGUUAAUGCAUAUGAUCAAUUAAGCGUGAAUUAUUACCGAUUUUUUUGUAUGUAAAUUGGAGAUUGUUUCGAACAGUCAAUUAGUUCAGAUUUGAUAUAGUUUACUAAUUCGUGUACCGUUUAGGUUCAUUGUACCUUCCUUAUUAAUUGUAAAUCUAACCUAUGAAUGGAGAUGCUGUUCGAGUGCAAAGAUAAUAAUGAAACGUAGACAAUUUCUCGCAAUUUCUGAUGUUUUGUAACCAAAUAUUUUUCAUGUCAGUGACCUUCAUUCAUAUAAAAGUGGUGUGACUUACUAAAGAUAAAUGUGAAUAUAUUUAAAGAAGUUUUUUUCCGCGUUCUAAAGGACUAAGGAGGAGAGGACGUGAUUGCUUUGAUCUGUUUUUCAACUGAAAAAUAGAUCAUCACGAUUGGCCCACAAUAAUUUGUCGUCCGCAUUUUCGAUUUCUUCAUUUUGGCAUUACUUUUGGUCGCCUUUGAGAUAUUAGACAAAUGAAGAAGGAAACUUUGUGACAAUGACCAGCAUGCCAUGCAGCAGAAACAAAUUCAAGAAACUUUGUGCUACCGGCAUUCGAGUUUGCCUCUGUCCUCUUUGUACAUCCAUCCGGCAUCCUUCCUCACGGCUACACAUUGGAAACAAAUAUUCAACGAGUCACUCAGCAUGUACGAAUUAGUUUUAAAAAUGAUGGAAACAUUCCUGUGCAAGUCAAAAUAAACAGAGAGUUUCUUCUACUGUUGUGUUAAAUAUUUUUAAUUGCUCCCAUUUUCUUUGAGCUCUUGAGCUCGUGCCACAAGCAAAACAAUGUAUCAAACUUAUCGUCAGAAUCAGUCUCAGGUGCCCUGGAUAUCGCCAGCAGAGUUUUGAGCCACUGUUCAUGCAGGGUAGAGAAGUUAGCCCUUUGUUCGCUUGACUUGAAACUUUCUCCUAUUAACUUCUUCAUGAUUUGAGCAGCCCCUGAAGCACUUUCAACAACCAUCUCAGGGACCCCAGCCAUUUUCGCCACUUGCAUACCAUAGCUCUCAGGACAUGGUCCAGAAGCUAGCCUAUAUAGAAAAAUCAGUUCCUGCUCACCCGGAGAUGACUUCUUGGACUUCAGCUUAAAAGAGCAGGCCAUAUGUUGCAGUGAAACACGAGGAUGAGAAGCAAAUUCCUUCGUGAGAGGAUGAUAAUGUGUAGCAAAUAACAAACGGCAGUUCACUGUUUCAACAAGAUAACGGAAUACCUAGACAAAAUUGGAAAGAUAUUACAAAUAACAAGUCAGCCACAGUAAAAUAAUUUACAGUAACAGAUAACUAGAUCUAAAACCAGCUCCAAUUUAAAUUUUCAACAACAGAAUCAUUUGCAGUCAACUUUUAAAGUUUCAGGCUCUGAGCAACAUCAAAUCCCCAAAUUUUUCAUUUCUUUUUAAUGUCAUAGUCCCAGGUCACUACCAUUUAGAGUCAACUUAAGAUUGUUAACAAAGAAUAUUUUGCAGUUUACUUUGUCUUGAGAAUAUAAAAGCAAGAUUUAUUGCAGCUGGUAAGGUAAAUAGCAAGUGAAAAUGAAUCUCACAGCAUAUGCAAUUGCAUAGCCAUCAAAUGUGCUAGUUCCUCGACCCAAUUCAUCAAGGAGGACAAGGGAAUCUUGUGUGGCAGUUUGUAACACUGCUGCUGUCUCAGUACAUUCAAUAAGAAAGGUACCUACAAAACAAUCAAAGUGCAUCAUGCAUUGUAAGAAGCAAGCUUCCUUGUAGAACUAUAGCUACGUUAAGAAAAUAAAACCAAAAGAUAAAUUAUUUGACCAACAAAAUAAACUUUCAGAUUAAUGAUCAAGAACAACUCAAUCAAGAAUCAAGUAGAGUCCAAUUGCAGAGCAUACUCUCGCCUGUCAUAAUUCUAUCAGUGGCUCCAAGCCGUGUAAAUAUGAUGUCCACAAGUGAAAGGACACAAGUCUCACAAGGCACAAAACAGCCCAGCUGCAAAGUACAAAUUUUAGGCAAAGAAGCAAAAUCAGCAAAAAUUAAACAUCAGGAUAGCAAGGAAAUCAAGCAUAUUUUAGUUGACAAACAGUAGGAAAAAGAAAGUUGAACCUGAGCUAGUAUAACAGUUAAACAAGUUGCACGUAUAAGGGUUGACUUCCCACCCAUAUUAGGUCCAGUCAAAAGCAAAGUACAGGGAUUAUAAAUACUAUUGUUGCCCCCAAGAUGCAUGUUGUUCGGAACAGGCAAUCCUCCAUUCUCACCAAGGGCAUACGGAUGCCAUAAACCUUCAAUUGAAAGUAUUGGUCCUCCUGUCUCUGAAUCUACAGAUCUUGAAUGAGGUAAAAUUUUUGGUCUACACAUAGCCCCAGAAGAAAAACUUGUGGUUACAGCAAAUGAUCUUAGUACAUCUAAGCAACUUAUAGCAUGGAUUACUUGAGACCAUUGCAUAGCCUUCUCUAGGAAAAGUUCCAUUAAAAUUGAUAGCGUUUCAGCACUUGAAUCUGUAGCAUCAUGGUCCUGUCACCAUGCAAGGAGAGAAACAAAUCAGGCUGCUUAUUCUCCUAUAUGCAAUUCAUGAAAUAAAUCCAGCUCAUGGGUACAGGAAAAAAAUUGUCAAACAGGUAAAUUUUAAAAUUAUCAUAUUGCAGAUAAACACUAAGAUGAAGACCAACAAAGGGAGUGGGACACACUACUAAAUUUUAAAACUUGAAAACCUUGCCUAAAUAUCAGCAGACACUUCCCCUGUAACAUUUCUCCAGAAAAGUAACAUUGCAUCUUGAGGACCAAAAAUUGGAGACCAUAUCAAAGUAUAUAUCCCGUGUUAUGGAAGAUGAAAAUUCAGCUAGGUAUUCCUACUAAAAGCUACUAUAUCAAUAACUGGCUUCUACAAUUUUUUGACAGUACAGAACACCAAAACUCUACAGAUAAAACAAGAAAAAGUAAAGCAUAUGUACUUCUGAGCACAUGCAUCCAGCACUCCCACUUUCAUAAUUCUACAGCAAAAAGAUGCCUAAUCAUGAAGCUAUAAGGUAGCAGAUAGAAAAAUACAGCACAAAUCAAUUGAAAGCAAGCAGCACAAUUCAUGGAAUGUAAGAUUUUGAAGAAAGUCGUGACCUGAUAAUUGGGAAAGUCACUGUCAAUUGCUGCCUCAAAUUGUGCAAGAAAUUUAUCAAGCCCAUCAUUACCAAUUAACAGAGGAAGACAAAGAACUUUUGCUAAUGAAGAUGUCAUAAACCCUUCCUUCUGUAAUAGCAAUAACAAAUCCAUUCCAAUACGCAGGCCUUUAACAAGUGAUCCAAACGCUUUAACCUGCAAGAAGACAAAAUUUUGAGUAAACAUAUUGGUUGAGUACUGAGGAUAGAUCUUGAUUAUACAAGGCAAAGAUUAGAGAGGAUAUUUGCCCGUAAACACUACUUGAUGAGCACCUAAAACAGACAGUCACUGACCACCCAUGAUCUCCCCCAUUGAGGGAACCAAGUGUCUUUGCACUUUAGCACAAGUCUUAAACGAAAACAUUGUCCCUGACAAGGCAUUCUCAUGACAAUGCUUUUUUGAUUCCACUGUCUAGAAGAUGUGAAAGAAUAAAUAGCAUGAGAACUUAAUUUAAGCAUUGAUGGGGAAAAAGUAUUAUCAUUGACUAGCAACUUCAUAAAGACUCAAGCUAACUAGGAAUUGCAGUUUGCACUACUGCAUUCUCAGAAAUAAUAUUGCACUGUUCAUCAAGAGUUAGCCGAAAAGAAACCACCAAUCUUGAGCUACCGAUGAAAUGAUGCAAGUGUGCACGCACAACAACAAGAGUACAUACACAAGCAAAAAAACUUAUUGAGAAAGCUUACUCGCUGUUUCAAUUUUUUGCUGCCAAUCAGUGGCAGCAAGAGCACAGCAGAAGAGUUAAUGCUUGCCUUAACACGCCCAAGCAACCUCUCUAAGUCUGGAAUCUUGCGAAGAUAUUGAGCCACAAGUAACAUGAUAUCUGAAUGUGCUAUAAGCUCCUCAACAACAUCAAGCCUAUGAUUGAUUUUCUCGACAUCUCUCAGAGGAUGACAGAUCCAGUUCCUUAAAAGCCGUUUACCAGAUGCAGUGACACAAUUGUCAAGAUAUUUGUACAAUGUACCUAUAUAUUAAUGUUGCUUAAAUUAACAUAGGAGGAAGCAUAACCUUCAGGUCUUAUAUUCUAACAUAACUCUUUGAUAUACACUAAAUUAUACACGAGCACUUGCCUGCCUGAGCACCAUCAGCAUUGUUAUUAAAAAUCUCAAGAUUGACAAGUGUCUGCCCAUCCAUUCUUAGACAACCCUUGUAGAGUUGAUACGAGUAAACGUCUCCAUUAUGUAAAGUGUCAUCUAACUGUUCAACAAAAUAACUUAAUUCAGAACAAAAGACAUUGAUGUUGAAGGUUGUACUACAAACAAUUUUCACAGGCCUACCAUCAUUCGGGAUAAAUGGUUAGUGAGUCCUCCAAGAGCACAUAACGCAAGAUCCUGAUGCAUAAUCCCCUCAAGAAUGUGAUCCCACCUGUUAAGAGAUUCUUUGAAGUAACCCUUCAACUGAAUGAAGUUUCUCACUUCUGAUGCAUUACCAAAAUCAGCAUGCAGAGCUGGAGUCAACAUUGAUACAGUAGAGCCUACAAGCCAAAGUUAAAUAGGCUUCUUAUCCAAAAGAUCCAAUCAUCAAUAACAGCAACCUUUGUAAAUAGCCAAAACUAAAGAAAGAGACAUCAAGCAGUUUCACUAAAAAGAAAAGUUGUAACUGAUAAUUGCAGUACAGAAGAAUGUGCCAAUUUGCAGAUGAGAACUUAAAAGGUUAAACUGUUGUCACCUGUUAGCGAGUACUUUUUCAAUGCUUUCUGUGCCUCUUUGGACAGUCCUAUAACAGAUUUGAGUAAAUGACCAUCAGGCUAGGGCUCAGCAAGAUUAAUAUUUCUAACAUAUGACAGCUUUUUGCCUGGUUUCUAGAAACUCCUUAAAAGAAAAGUAAAAGUUGGAUGUGAAAGCAAUUUAAUAGACUUACCUUGACUAUCAUAGAUCACUUCCCUAGGUGACACCUAAAAGUCAAACCAAAAGAAAAAGAAGACCAAUCAUCCCCACUAAAUAUUGCACACAGAGCAUAUAACAGAAAAUUAAGACCAAGGAGCAUACUUGCAUCAACAAAGCCCCCAAAGCUGCAUAAGAAGCAUCGUCACUGAUGGAACCAACCCAAAAUUUUAAUGCAGCACAGUCGACAAAAGCAAACCCAAAAGAAGUUGAACCAUUAUCUGGACAAAAGCAAUCCUAGAUACAGAAUGCAGCAAGAUGUUAAUCAUUUUAUAAUUCUUAUUUGCAAUGAAACUACCCUAUCUAGCUUUACUUGUACAACUUUACCAAAUUUGAGAGCUCAUGACACAUUUUUUCCUACACCAUCAGUAAGAACAAUAUGGUAAAGUACGGAAAGCAAAGAAAAGGUUUUCAAGCCAACCUCUUUUAUUGCAAGAAGAUGUACAGCGUUUGGCCCAAUGUUGCCCUCAGUUGUGGUGGAUGGUGUGAGAACGCCAAUUAGCUUCCUUUCAAUAACCUAAAACCAGCAUUGUAAGCCAUGAUUAGAUUUGAAUGACUAUCACCUACAGUUUGCCAGAGACCAUACAAUGACAGGCACAGGUCCAUGUGGAUAACGGAACUGCACAAACACAGGUCCAUUUCAAACUUACAGAAGCAGAACCUCUUGAUUUUGCUUGUUCUGAGGUCUCCAACUGCUCAACCCGUCCAACUUUGUAGCUUUAAAUAAGAAAUGACGAGUAAAAAAAAAGGACAGGAUCAGAAUGCAGCAGGAAAACAAAUAGGAUCUCUACACAAAUAUAUUAAUAUGAAAGCACCAGUAUAUCCAGAAAUUAGUAAAUACUGAAUAGAUGUUCCACAAGAAAAGAAAACCAAUCUGAAAACUAAACAAAUCAGGAUGCUUGAUUUAACGUAUUGAUACACAUUAGCCACAGAACUUGCUUACCAACCCCUUUGACAAUUAUAAAAGAUAAAAGAAGCAUAAAACAAGAAAUUAGAUAGAGUAGUGAAUAAUGAAUAGAGGCUCAAUUACCAAAGAAAAUUAAUAUGAAACCAAACAAAUCAGGAUGCUUAAAUUAACAUAUCAAUGCACAUUGACAACAGGAAUUUGCUUACCCACGAUCAAUCAAUUUCUGAACAGCAUCAUCAAUCCCACUCUCAGAUAUCCCAACCUAAUAGCAGCGCAAAGGAUCAGUAUAGAUAUGAUAUUGAGUAAAACCAAACACCUACCACUGCAAAUGCCUCAGAAAACACUAUAACAGGAUGACUAUAACUGUAGAUCGGGACAUUACCUGUCGACAUUUACCCACCCCGCUUAAUGUCAUUUUCCAGUCAAGUUCCUUGUGACCAAUUUCAGCAUCAAGUUCAUAGAGCUCAUAAAACUUUCCCUGAAAUAGAAAUAUGAGUGUUUUAAAAGAGUAUUGCAAAAGACAGACAUGAAGGGCAUAUUUUUUUUUAUCUUCAACAGAGUUCUUCAUUCACAUUUUGCAGAAUAAAUUCAUAAAAAAUGGAUAUAAAUUGGAAGCAUGAUAAUCACAAAGCAGUAUGGCACCAAAAUUAGUUUGGACAAUCUAUAAACCAAAGAAUAGCAAGUAAUGUAAAUCAAGCUUAUAAAUCUAACUGAAGUUAGAUGAUCCCUGUACCCUACUACAGUUCACUCAGAAGUCACAGAUUCCUAAUCAUUAGUCUUAUUUCAUUACACAAUGAAAUCCCACUGGAAAUCUCUGAUAAGUUAUAAACUGAAAGUCUUUGAUUUUUGAGAAAGUGCCUAGAAUAUGAAAUUAAUCAUCAAAAAUUUUGAAGUUUAGAAAUCAUUCAGCAGUCACCCAUUUAACCUAUUGCAGAAGCUCACCUGUUAGGUGACUCUUUGAAAUAAAUGAAGUAUGACGAAUAAAUUAGAUUCACCAAAAGAAACAAGGAAAAAAAAACAUCCUUAGUGCACUGUAAUGAAGGUAUGGGUUCGAAUGGACUGACCACUUUAAAGAAAAGCACCACAUCCAUGUAUUGACAUUUAACUUCCCAAUAUUGCUUUUGUGAUGCCGACAUCUUUCUUAGAGCAUCUGGUGGUAUUAAGAGUGUUCUUUGGUCAUAUAGAGGAUCACCUGGCCUUUUUCCCUUAGCAUCCUUGAUUCUUGAAGGAUGAAGCCAUUCAAACUUGCUAGCCAUUUCAGAAUCCUCUAGAUAUUUCUUUUCACCAUCUAAAUCCUGAAGAAAUUUCACCCUUUUGGUAGCAUUUGACUUGGAGAAACCACUCUUUUGCUCGAAAUUACAAAUAUCAUCAUGUAACCUUUUUAACCGAGGGACUGAAGGUCGCAUGCCUGGCGUGUCUGGUCCAAGAACAUCAAUGUCAUCAGUUCCAACAACCAAUGGGCAUCCCUCACUCUCUUGCUUUGUUGUCCCAUUAGUAUGGCAAAUACUUUGCCUCCCUAUUUGCUUAGAAGUCAAGUUUCCAUCUUCAAACUCUUUCUGCGACUUCGAUUUAUCAAGAACAGAACAAAUAUUGUUUGAGACACUUGCUUCCUUCCUGCCGUUUUGCAGUCAAUAUGCAAUAUGUGGGUCAUAAGCAGACAAAGAAUUUAAAUGCUGCUUGGCAAAAAACAAAGGAAAAAGUAAAAUAGCUAAUUAACGAAUUGAUAUAGUUAACUUUAUGCAGUAAUGCUACCUAAAAAGAAUUGCAUUGAGGGUAUAUAGAAGUUAUAGGUCUCUUUCUGUAAACAGUUGAAUUUCCUCAAUAAGCUAGUGCAACGACUAUCAAAUGAUCUACAUUUUUAUCAAGAUAAUCGUAGUAAAUUAUCGAGUUCAUAUAGGUUAUAUACACUGCUACAUCUACCUCAAAAGAGAAACAGUUUCUCUUCACCUUCCAAGUACACCAGCUAGUACAACACUUCGGAACGUCACAGUAUAGUCGCGAAAUAAGAACAAAAAUAGUGAAUAUAGACAGAUGUACACUCACGAGUCAUUUAUCAGAACAUAUAUUCAGAGGCUAUCAAUUUCUUACCGCAAAAGUUUACAAAAGUAGCUACUUAAUGCUAGCAACAUACAAUUAAAUUAAUCCAACUUUACCAACCUAUCAUCGAUGAGUAUUUCAGUUUCAUAGUCAAACAUUUAAAAGAAAGAAAUAAAAAACCAAAAAAAAAAAGGGGAAAGGAAAAGGAAAAGCAUGAGAAACCUACUCAUUGCAAGAUAUUUUCGUAGUAUCGAAUCUCGCGAACUUGUGCAUGAUACUGGAGAAGAGCGAAUUUUUGCUUCCGCUCUCAAUGUCGUUGACGGGGAAAAUCUGACGCGGCACUUUUUCCGGCGGAGUAUCGGUUCCUCUGACGUCAUCAACCGAAUCGUCAAUUGUGGAGGUAGAAAUAGCUUUGGUAAAUUCAAUACCAGCUCCAAUCUGAUUCUGAUGUUUGGGAGGAAAAUGAGGAGCUCGGCCGCCGGAGUUCUGUUGCUCCGCCGACGGUCUUUUGAGAAAUGAAAGAAUCGACUUCUGACGCUGCAUUUUUUUUCCCCCCUGGUUGUCAGCGAUUAGGGAGAAGAGGAAAGCCACUGACGAUUUUAAAUCAGAGAAAGGAGACAGUGAUAAAGAGAAUUGGCGCCAAGUUUUGGCUCCAAAAUGGGUAACAUUUUGGAGGUUCUCAGCUGGGCGGUGUAUUCGUGGCCGUUCGAUCCGUUUUUCGGAUUUUACUGUUACCAGUGGCGCGUGGUAGACCGCGGAGAAAUUUCCACUUGCCCCAGUAACGAGCGUCAGAUGGGGAAAUUCUAGGGCAAUUUGGCUCUUUGCACCAAUCCAGCCAUCCAUCCUUCGAAGGUGUCAAUUUAAUUAUGUACCAGAGAAAAAAAGGGAAAAAAAAAAAAGAUGUCAAUUUAAUUUAGUCUUAUACACGUUAACUCUUUUUUGAUUUCCUGAUUAAAUAGUAUUUCACGAUAAUGGUGUUCCAUACCAAUUUACGCACGUCUUAAAUCAGUCCAGUGCCCUGAAAUACCUCAAAUUACAUGUUAAGUAUAUCAUUCACACGAGUUUUAUAUGAUUAAACCAAAGUGUAAGUGUAUGCUUCACCAAAUUACAUCAUUUCUUUUUAUUUGACAAUUAUUCAGUUUUCAACUAUAAUGACACCCAACAUGGUACAAACCCGAGAACAUUUUGCAUCUAGUUGUGUCAUUUUAAGCAAUAGUCUGAGGCCAAUUAGGCAGAUUUCCCAAUACGAGUAGUAUCAAUAUCAAAAUAUAUAUAUAUAUAUUGUAGAAUAACAUGUUUUGCAUCUAGGACUAAUUGCAUUUGUUGGCUUAGACACGGUUAGGUAGAUUAAUCUCUUAUGAGGCCUAUAAUCGUUCACUGGGCAUAAAGGGGUUAGUUUACAAUUUACAUAACAUUGAUACCCUUUUGCUAAGUUCGAGCUCAGAUCCUUGUUUUGUCUUGUAUUUGUAAUCUUUGACGUGUAAUUUUGGAAUCCACAUGGAUGAAUGUAAUUGCAUAGAAAGAGAUAAACGAAGUAGUAAACUUUUAAUCAAAGGUUAAUUUUGCAUGUGUGUGUGUGUGUUUAACCUCAUGUAAUUUCUUGAUUAUCGUAUACAGAUAAUUGAAUAAGGGAAAACUUGUAGAGAAAAUACGGAAAACUUUAAAGUAAUGAAAUUUGAUUAUUUCGAAAGUUAUUAGACAAUUGAUUUUGGUUUGAAAUAGAUUUCUUCUUCUUUUUUUCCCCCUUGGAUCAAGUGGAGCCAGAAGUGUAGAUCCGAUAUUAGGAGAACGGAAAGACAUACGGUAAUUUUUCCUAAUAAGGGUAAUUUUGCCUUCAAGAAUUUUGCAAUGUGUAUAAUCUUCUAGAUGUGGACACAUUUUGGCUUUCUAGAAUAAUGCAAACGCCUUCUGUGAGCUUCAACUAGGGCUAUCAAUGAGGGGUCGAAUUGAUUCUAACUCGACCUGUUUGCCCCAAAACAAAAGGGGUCCAACCACUAUAAUUAUGGGUUGGGUAGAAUUUAGGCAUACAUUCAUAACUCGAUUAAAAUGUGUGUCAAGUUUCGGUUUUUAUAGGAUCAAAUUGAUUAGAGCCUGACCCGUUGUUAUAUAUGUGCGUGCAUAUGUAUUCUAAUGUAUAUAACUAUAAAUAUCUUAUUUUUAAAUACAUAAUGUAUGAUUAGACUAUUAGUAAUUAAUAUUGGUUUUGAAAUGAUUUAGAUUCAUUAAAUAAUUAUAUUUAAAGAGAAAACUCUAUUAGUAUUGACUAUUAAUCAUGUAUUAUUAUUAUUUUCAAGUAUUUAAAAAGAAUUGUUGACAAAAUUUUUAUUGAUGAACUCUUAAUGAAAUUUAAACUAAUUUAUAUGUAAUUUUAAUAUUGUAUAUUACAAAUUAACUUUACUACUUAAUGGGUAUAGUAAUUAUAUUAAAGAAAUUAAUGAGUAAUAAUUGAAUAUGAGCUAAACUUGAAUUAAACUCAAAAUUCAAAUAUAUUGUGAGUUUAAGCAUGAACUUCGCACAUAUUAGCCCAAAACUCAUUAUUUGAAAUCCAAAUAUCUUAUUAACUAAAUAAAUCGAGCAUGAGGUUGUUAAAAUCCAACUUGGAUGGCCCGACCCAACAAAGGCCUUGCUUGGAUUGAAGGUUUUCGUCGGAAAAUAUUAUCGUUUUCCGUGAUCACAUUUCCCUAUCACCUUUUUCCCUCACAUAUAUCAAAUCGCUACAGUAAUUUUUCCAUGAAAAAUGACGGAAAAUGCAAUCCAAACACAACCUUAACUUCAACUAGGAUGUAUGUAUUAACUUUCAAUUUUUAUUAGUAGUAUUUGAAACUAGAAUAUCUAUUUUCACGAGGUGAGUCGAGCAGUGAAUCCUUUAAACAACCUCUAGAUAGAUAAUUAAACAAGAACAACUUGUUGUCAGAGGCUCAAAGAAAAAUUUAAAGAAAUUUGUUCAAUAAUACCUAUUUUUUAAUUAUUGAAUGUUGUAAAACUAAUAAAUGAAGUAAAAAACUGCAGAGAAAAAUGUUAUAUUAUUCAUCAUUUGAGCAUUCGAGCGAAUAUAAUAAACAUUCUCUCUGCUUUUGACUACUUCUAUCUAUUCUAUUAUAUUUUGUUAUUUCAUUAGUACUAGUUUCACAACAUAUUUAUCAACAUGAAUAUCCAACUUUAAGCAAAAGGGAAACAUGUGUAUCUAAGUUUGAGCAAGUACAGGUUUCUACAUGUGUUCAACAAUCAUUUAAAAUUGAAACUUGUAUUUGAUAAUUCAAAAUUAUAAACUUGUACUUAUUGACUAAAGUUAGAUACUCAUGCUUCACAUUUAUUCAAAGUUAGACACUUAUGCUAAUAACGUGUUAUGAAAUUAAUAAAACAUAAACUAAUAAAUGAAGUAAAGAAAUGUAGAGACAAGAGGAUUAGAAAAAGAGAUUAUAUUCAAAUAUUUUUCCAAAGAUUUCAAAUAAGACUUGUGAACUGUCUAAGGGUCUGUUUGAUAACAUAAAAAAGUGCUGAAUUUGAAUUUUUUCAGACAUUCAGAUGUUUUGAGUAUUUGAUAAAUAAAAAUCUAUUUGCUGAAUUUGUUAAGCAGUGCUGAACCUGUGUGUAUUUUUUUCAGCACAAGAAUCCUAACUGAAUGCUUAAUUCUGGUAAGAAUCAAUUGAAUUACUUCAACUACCCUAUCUUAUCUACCAAAUCUACCCUUGUUGUUAAUUAUGUUCAAAAUUCUUAUAUAAUUAAACAAUAUAAUAUUCUCUAUCUAACGAUUUUUAGUUUAUCUUUUCUCACUUUCUAAUGACUUUCACAGCUUCUCCAUACUCCUUUAUAUAAUAUAUUUCACAUUUUAUAUUAAUUUGAUUUAAAAAUAAAUAUUGUCAUUUUCAUACCUAACAAUUUUAAACUAAUUAAAUGAUAGAUUCUAUUUCUUUUUGGAAUGAAAGGAUAUAAGGGCAAAAUUGUCAAAUUAAACUUAUUAAGCAUUCAACUAUAAAUAUUUAUCAAACAAUAUAAAUAGGUUUAACAUUAAAAUUCAGACAUUUAUAUAUAUUUUUUAGUGCUUAAAAUUCAACAAAUUAAUUGUUUCAGUAUUCAGAUUUCAGAAUUCAAACUUCAAAAUUCAGAUUCAGUUUUAUCAAAAGGAACCUAAGUGAUACAAGACUAAAGGCACACGUAUCAAUAUUAAUAUAGAUAUACGAAUUUAAUAUUUCAAAUACAUAAAUUUAUCAAUGAAUGUACCAAAGGAUGAAUGCUUAAUGCAUCUCCUAGGGAGAUGAAUAUACAUCACACAUAUCAUUUCAUUAAUUUCAUAAAUUUGAAGAUGUAUUUGUAGUUCUUCUAACAGGAAAAAAAAAGGUUAAUCACAUUUUGUCCCCUUAAAAAAUAUCUCAUUUCUCAGUUUACCCCAUAACCUUUAAUUUUGCUCACUUAACCCCCUUUAGGAUAAAAUUGCCCUUGCAUUAUUUUGACUUUUAAUUUAUCUUAUUUUCCUUUCUUUUAUUUUUUUUCUCUUUUUUUAAAUUAAUAGUUAUUAAAUCUUAAGAAAAUAAUAAAGAAUUAAAAUAUAAUAUUUAUGAAUGAAAAAUAAUAAUAUAAUAAAAAAUAAAACAAAGAAUGACACGCAAUGUGGGACAGACUUUCCGCGCGAAACGGGACAAAUGGCACAUCUCAUUCGCUAAUAUCCAUCGUUGACCAAGAGCCAAAGAGGCCAACCCUUUUUAGCGUUUUACUUGGGCACCAAGUUCUUGCAAAGACCAACGUGGCUUCUUUUCAACCAAUCAACAGCUGCCAACUCACCAAUCAGAGAACUGGAUAUUCACCACCACACCAUCCUUGGACAACAAGUUUAGUAGUACCUCCGCGAACCUUCGAGAUCCAUAGCUAUCACCUCGUGCCUUUCCUUUUUCCCCUAGCCGACUCUUCCUGAAUCCCAACCCCAUAUAAAACCCGUCCUGGCCCUCCUCAAAAAAUCGCUUUUGAUGGUUAGUUUGAAAGAAAGACAGGAGGCAGAAAGAAGAAGAAGAAGAAGAUCAACCUGCUAUUUUUGUGAAGGAUGCCGAGUAGAUUUCAGGGGGCGAUCAAGCAGGAAUGGGAGCCGGUGGUGCUGCAAAAGUCUAGACCCAAGGCUGAAGACCUGAGGGACCCCAAGGCGGUGAACCAAGCUUUGAGAACAGGUGGUCAGGUGCAAACAAUCAAAAAAGCGGAUGCCGGAGCAAAUAAGAAGGCAGCCCCCCCUGCUGUAAAUGCAAGAAAGCUGGACGAAGCUGAGGAGCCUGCGGCUUUGGGGCGGGUAUCGACGGAGGUGAGGCAGGCCAUACAAAAGGCGAGAAUUGAGAAAAAGAUGAGCCAAGCCGAGCUAGCGAAGCAAAUUAACGAGCGACCUCAGGUGGUUCAGGAGUACGAGAAUGGGAAGGCUGUGCCUAAUCAGGCUGUAUUGGCUAAGGUGGAGAGAGUGUUGGGGGUUAAGCUUAGGGGAUUAAGAAAAUAAAUGGCAUAAAUAUAGGCUGAACGUUAAUGAAGUUUUGUAAAUGAACAGUCUGUCACCUUAGGUUGAGAAUUUCAACCGUUGGAUGUAAAUUAUUAUUAUUGUUGUUAUGUCGGACGGUGAUGUUUCUUGCUUACCUUGAGCAUUUACUCAGCCGACAAAUGAUGCAUGUUUAUUUUAUUUUUGUUGUCUUCUUUGAUUAACAAAGGCGUAUUUUCGGAAUUUCCAGCAAGGCACGUCGAUUGAGUAUGGACUAUCUCAAUCGGAAGCACUACUGUUUUUUCAACUUUUUUGCAGGCAAAAGGAGUCACGCUGCGAUGUAGUAGCUGGGUUUAAAGUUUCAAGCCUCCUUUCCAGGGACCACCUCAGCAGCAACCCCCCCCCCCACCCCCCUUUUCCUUCCCGGCGGCCCAAAAAAAAAAAAAAAAAAAAAAAAAAGAGGAGGCAACGCUAUUCUACUAGCACAGGCGGCCGGCGGCUCUUUCCUAUAACUAUUAGCUAAUAAAUUACUUUCGAGCUAGGGAAACAAUCAACUGGGCUUACAAUUGGAGUUUGCUUUUCGUUGUUUAGCUAUUAAAGAAUCUUAACAAAGCUAUCCUCAUUUUGGAUUGUCUGGGACUGCUGAGACAGCAUCCUCAUUUUAAAUACGACGGCCCCCACCCAAAAAGAAGAAAAGGAGAACGCUGGAGCCUCUUCGUAGUCCUUUCUCGGAAGAGUCUGUUCUCCCUUGCUUCGACGUUGAAAUCCUGUCUCCUGCCUAACCGAUGUGAAAAGAUGGUAGCCUUUUUGUCAUUUCUACCCAAAAAAGAAAAUUUUCUUUUUGCUUGGGUUGGAAAUUGCCAGAGAGAAACCAAUAUUCCAAGCUUUAAUUAACCGUUUUAACGAGCAACUUAAUCCAUCAGAACUCGGGCGAGAGAGACGUCAAUUUAAUUUUCGACUGUCUUCUUUUUUAUCAGCGUCGCAGGUAAAUAAUUUUACAGGAGAGUACGAAUAAAAAAGUGCAAGAAAUUCAUUCUCAAACUGACAUUAUUUAAUCCCGCAUGAGGAUGUAUCCUCAUUUCGCCGCCUUUUUUUUUUUUUUUUUUGUGCUUUUAAAAAUUUCCCGAUGCUACAGGAUGCUUACAGCCAAGGUGAAUUGUAAAUGGGAGUAGCAACAGCUUUAACUACAAGAUACUUCUUGAGGCCAUCCAUUCCCAUGUCUCUUCCAAAACCACUCAUUUUGUAGCCUCCGUAUGGGCUGUCCCUGUCGAAGGCAAAGUAACAAUUUAUCCAGAUAGCACCCGCACGAAUUGAUCUUGCGACGGUGUUGGCAAUGUUAAUGUCGUUAGUCAUAACGCCCGCUGCCAGUCCAUAUUUGGUCGCGUUUGCUCUCUUGAUUGCCUCCUCAACGGUCCUGCGUGUGUUAUUUAGUAUGAAAUAUUACUUAGCAUGAACACGUGUCCAGGGAAGGAAUAAGGCGUUUGAAGGCUUAUUAGUCAGUACUAAUUGACUUACUUGAAUUUGAAUACUGACAUAACAGGCCCAAAUAUUUCUUCCUGUGCAAUUGUCAUCUCAUCCUGCAAUGCAUCAAGCAAAAUAAUUAUUGAUUAAUUGCAACAGGAAUCCAAAAUGCUUUUUGCCAGUCUCAAAUCUGGAAAGUUGUUGAUUCAAGAGAUUUACCGUGACAUCAGUGAAUAUUGUCGGCUCAAUGUAGUAGCCCUUCCUGUCACCAGGCUUGCCACCAUGGAAUAAGGUGGCACCUUCCUUCUUCCCGAGCUCAAUGUAUGAAAGUAUUCUAUCGUACUGCUUCUUGUUAACCUGCAUCAGACGGGAAAUGAAAAUUGAGAAUGCAACAACCAUGGAGAACUCGUCUCUCAGCAUUGUGAGGAUGAUAUCCACAGAUGAGAUGAUGGCGAUUAGAUUUUGCUACUGGACAUAAACCAGUUUCUGAUUCACAUACUUGGGGUCCUUGAUGAGAAGUUGGAUCAAAAGGAUCACCGACCACCCAAUUUUUCACCUUCUCCUUCAACUUCAGUAGAAACUUGUCAUAAAUCCCCUCUUGAACAAAAACACGAGAGCCAGCAACACAUAUUUCACCCUGGAAUUGAUUUUUUUUUUGUUUUUGUUUUGGAAGAACAAAAGUAAGUCAGCAUUCUUCAUCUUUGAUCGAAAAACAGAUCACACAGACGAAGAAAGAAAUUAAUGAAAGACGACCUUGUUAAAUAGAGUUCCCUGCAGUGCCAGUUCUGUAACUUUGUCCACAUCUGCAUCAUCGAAGAUUAAAAUGGGGGACUUGCCUCCCAGUUCUAGACAUACGGGCUUCAAGUUGCUUGUUGCUGCAGCUUGCAUGACAAGCCGCCCUACUUCCGUAGAACCCGUGAAACUUACCUGAACAUAACAGGCACGUGUGUCAAAUGAAAUAAUCUUUUUGCACGAUACUCGUAGACACAAUUCAAGUAAAGCUUACCAUAUCAAUGUCCGUAUGAGAGCUAAUUGCCGCACCAGCUGUUUGUCCGAAUCCUGUUACAACGUUAAGCACUCCAUCGGGGAUUCCAGCCUGUUUCAAGUAGCAGAAUUCGUAAGUGCUAUUAAAAAAAAAAAAAAUUAUGGGUCGCUCAAUUGUUGUCUCGUUUAAUUUCACUAAGCUCAAAGAAAAUGCAAGAUUACCAGCUUCGCUAAAUGAGCGUAAUAGAGAGCUGACAGAGGCGUUUGUUCCGCAGGCUUGACAACCAUGGUGCAACCAGCAGCUAAUGCAGGGCCAACCUUCAUAGCAAACAUUUGACUAGGGAAGUUCCAGGGAAUGAUGUGUCCAACAACUCCGACGGGCUCAUGCAAUGUGUAUCCCUGUAGCGCGGUCGACAUUUUCAGAGUCUCCCCAUGAAUCUUAUCUGCCGCACCCGCAUAGUAGCGAAUUGUUUCUGCUGCUCCUGGAAUUUCCAUAAUCUUGCAAAGGGAAAACAAUUUUCCAGCAUCAAUUGUCUCCAGGGUGGCUAAUUCUUCAUUGUUUUCAUCUAUUAAGUCUGCAAACUUCAUCAUUAUCUUGCGCCUCUCCUGGUAACAACGCAUACAGAGAAAGAAUGCUUAGUUUCAAGCAGUCCAAACCAUGCACACUCUCAAUUGCUCACAAAGCCAUUGAGCUGUAAAAUGGACAAAUGUAAAAAGCUUUUCUGGAUUGAGACUUGCAAGUUCAACCAAGAAAAACGUUUAAAGAAACAGCUGAUUGCUUAAAUCUUGAAAAUAUGGCCAGAGCGAACGGAAAUUGAUUUGUGGAAAAUUAGGACGAUAUAUUCACAUCAUAUAGAUGCUGAACUUCCAAAAGCCUCCAAAUUAAAGCAAAGCAUCGCAUUCUGGUGAUGAUGACAGAUACUAAUGGUGAAUUGGUGAUUGAGACAAAAUGUAUACUUUUCUGGGCCAUGUAAAUCCGGAGUGAGUCAAAACUCGACGGGGAAGAAAUUUCAGCCUAUGGUCCCAUGUAUAACAAAUAUGCGUGUUCAAGUUUUCCACGCAUGGCUUAAAUUAGUACUCCUAUUAGUUUCUUUGUCCUCUUUUUUCUGUUUUAAAAAAAAAAAAAAUUAGUACUCCUAUUUUUACAUCUAUCAUAUAUCAAGUCAUCAUAAUUCAUACAUAACUUAGGAUCAAUUUUAUUACAUAAGUACAUCACAAUGUAAUUUUUGAAUGGAACACAUGAUCUACUAAUAAGCCGAUGGUGAGUAUAAAAGAGUACUAUUCUUUAAGCGCAGAGUAGGCAAUUUAUAUUUAUUUGGUGGAUCCCAGAACCCACAAGUGUAGGAAUUGUGGCGGCACCCAGCUUAGGCGGUAAUAAGAUAAUGAUAGUAUUGAAAACAACUACUCCUAGCAUUAAAGAGUUUGAUCCCAGAGUUGACUUUUUGAGUUCUCCCAGCAUUUGCCAGCGGAAAAAUAGGCUUAAGAACAUGAAGCUGUCGGAUACCAUUAAAAUAUUACCUGCUACUUGCCGCCUUCCCCUUUUUUUUUUUGGGUGUAUCCUGCACUGCACUAGAGGGAGGGGAAGGACAUGAGGAGCUCUGAGAGUAACUCAGAUAUGACUGAAUCACCGUCGAAUCAGACGGGUGUACCACGCAUCCAUCUGAUUUUUUUUGAACGGAACCACUUUUAAUGUGACAAAUUGAUGGGAGGUAAUGAUAAUUUUAAUGCAUUGGUGGUGGUCUGGUGGUUGACUUGCCCCCUUCCAGCUUAAAUUUCAUAGGCUAAAAACUGAUAGUACAACAAAUUGUACAACUAAUCAAAAGUGAAAACCUGGCAAUUAAGAGUAAAAGUUCCUGCAUCGAAAUCAAACAACAAGCAGGGCAUUUAGAUGUGCGUCACCGGUCAUAAUUGCCUUGUAGAGGGGGUAUCAAUGAUUAAUUCUACGUUGAGGUGUUCAAAUAUUCUUCUAUGCAGAAAAAUCAAAGUUCUAUCGUCCAAAGCAAACCAUAUAUUUCUCGUGGCCACUAUUUCGGUUCAAAGUCUUUAUCUUUGACAAGACUUUGAACAUGGAAGAAAGGCCAAUAAACAAAUUCUUUAACUCGAUUGAUCCGGCAGGUUAGUUUGGUUGGUCCGGAUACUCAAUCUUCUAACUUAUUAAUUUGUCAGUAAUUAACUUGGAUAUCAUGUGUAUCAUUGACUCACGUAAAAAAACAGAGAUGAAUUUUAAGGCGAUUACGGACUGUAACUACUGAAACACUAUUGAAAGAAAGGAAGCACUGGAGAGAAGAAUCUUACAAAGCCAGGUAAACGAGGCCAUGGGCCGUUGUCAAAAGCUUCUCGGGCAGCUUUGACAGCCAAAUCGACAUCUUCCUUGUUCCCCUCGGCAAUUUCUGCAAUCACCUCCCUGUUUCUUGGAUCUAUUGUCUGAAAAGUCUUUCCUGUGUGAUCAAAUUUCCAAAAAGAUUAGUCUCGUCUAAGGUCUAACAACGUGAACGAGAACCUAUGCAAUAUCAACAUCAAAGGUCUUCGGUUUUCGUAUUAUGCAAAUGGUAUGCACACUUGCAAACGACAUGUUUAGAGGUAGAGAUAUUUAUUGACCACGCCGCACCAGCCGAUCGAUAUACACAAUUGGAGAUUGGGAAAACCUAUAAUCAUAUUAUCUCUGUUUUUGAGGAUACGUGUCUCGAAUUCCAGAAGUUGGUUCCGAUUUGUUUUGUAUAUGCAUCGGCAAUGCAGUAUUGAGAAUGAACUGUUGCAAGCAGACGAAAGGUUAAAAAGAAAUGGUUAUUGUUUGGCUCAUCGACUUCUGAACUAUCUUCUACUGAAUGAAUUAUUUGGAAAUAAUUUUCCUUAGUAGGUGACGGUUUGGAAGGAAAUGAAAUGUAUGCUGUAGCCUCUUCUCUGUCACUAGUAAAGAAUUGCACCUUUCUAACGCCGAAAUUCAUAUCCGGGAAGAACGGAUUAGGUGCAUCAGAGGAUGGUUGCAACCAGCUGGGCUUUAUCACUUGCGAUGAUCAUGAUGGAUGACAAAACUAUUCUUGGCCCUCCAAAGAGAUUGGAAGAAAUCGAGGCAUAGUAGGAUUGCCAAGAAGAAGACACCAAAGUUUGUAUCAAUGACUAAAGAUUAAUAGCUUUGCUUUCAGAUAAUCUGUAACCAGUACGGAAAACAGAUGAUUUGUCCGGCAAAGUUGCAGCAGUACGAAUUUCUUUCCUGAAAAAGAGUUUCUUCAAAUGCCAUGUGCUAUAACUGAAGCUCCCUUUUCCCUAUCCGCCGCUCUUCUUUGUGCAGUAGAAAAAGAGUUUCCGUUCUCACGAAAACGUAAAACACAUGCACUUAGGAAACAUCGGAACAGACCUCUGUGUUUAUUGUUCAAUUAAUGAGCGUGACAGAAAUGAUAGGAGAACAUAAGGAAGAAAAAAGUAGGAACCUGAAACAGAAUCAACGAACUCUCCAUUGAUGAAGAGCUUGGUGAACUUUAUCUGAGGAACAGGAACCUUGACGCGAGAAUCCAAGCUUCCAUUGCCGUUACUUUGGACAGCCAUCUCUCGAGCAGAAUCAACACCUCGGUUUUUUGUAAAUAACUCACCCUGUCUCCCACGUUAUCUCCACUGAAAGAAACACCCCACGCUUGGACGACUAUAUAUACACACACACACACAAAUUAAAGAGCAAGGCAAGGCACGAGAGAACCCAUACCUCACGCGUCACUGAACUGGGUCUUUUGUUUUUUGUGCUAGUCCAAUUAAAUAUUUAGAAUACGUCACAGGCAGCCAGCCCAGUAGAGCCGCUCGGUAUUGGGCCCCCCUCCUAUUGUCAUCGCAGACAGAUUCCUCCGUUUGUUUGCGUAGUCAUACAUUUAUUAUUUCUCCAAACAUUAAUUUGCUUGCUCACAAUUACUACAAAUCUUCAAUAAAUAUGUCAUAUGUGCAUUAUUAUUUGAUCAGCUUUAUGAUCAUUAAUUAUUGGCAAUCUAGCUAGUGCGUUUCUGUCUGGUAAAACGAAUUAAAUUCUUCAACACAAGAAGAAUCAAUCACAAAUUAAUAAAAGCAUAUUUGAGUUAAAGCAUUUAAUGUUCGUAGAAGUUUUAAUUUUAGCUUUAAUAAACCUUUUUUUUCAAAAUCCUUGCACCCCUCCCCACACCCUUUCUGCCCUCUAUUAUUAUUAGGUCGAACACUGGACAUAGUAGCGGAAAAGGUUCUCCAAGUUCACCGUCCAAUAAAUACAAUUUCAAAUUUGUUAGAAUAAUCAAGUAAAUUUGAACUUUUUUUUUUUUUUACCAGUUGAAUAUUCAACGCAUUUAAUCUUAUAUGUACCCCAAAAGCUAUGGGAAUCUGGAAGAAGACGCGAAACUUUUCACCUAAAAGUUAAAACCCUUAAUUAAUCACGUUGGCUGCGGUAAAGCUAUUGACCGCUGAAAAGGCUUACACUUUACCCUCGAAUUUCCUUGCAGCUUGGCUCAUUUUGCGGAUUGUUAAUUGGGUGUUCUGCGUUGAAUUAGGAAUUUAUAUACCAUCUCUCAUUGACUUUGACAGUCUAGACCAAAGUAACUUUUUUUUUUUUUUUAAGAUAACAGAUGGCUAGUAAAGUGGUUGAAUGUUAAACGCAAUUUUUUCCUGAGAUUUUAUAUUACUGUACAAUACUUUCUUGAGCAAAGGUGUGCCAGAUUCAUAUUUAUAAACCGGAAAAUUCAUCUUCGUCGUAGACUUUCAAUCUCAUGAAACAAAUCCAAAGUGAGACGUAGGAGGAUGAACCGAUGAAGGUAGUUCAUCAUCAAGGUUUUGCUAAUUAAUUACAUUCUUGUGACGAUAAACUGAUUUUUAUUCCUUUUGAUGAGAUAGGCAAGCCACAAGAAUUUAUGAGAACAUUGAUUGGACAACUGCGCAAAUUGAUGAUACCAUCCUUUUUCCAUAUUGCAUUCCCAUUAUUAUUAUAAAUUUUUUUUUUUCGGAUAGAAGCAAUCCCAUUACCAUUAGUUUACCGACGUGUGUCGAUUUAAUCAAACAUUGCCAUGGUCAACGGGCUCAAUAGCCGCUAGUAUUCCCAAAAAAAAAAAAAAAAAAAAAACUACUACUCCCUCCCUCCGUCCCACUUUGAUAGUCCUGUUUCUUUUUUCACACAAUUUAAGAAAAAGUAGUUAAUUUUGUUGGAAAAGUAAAUUUAGAUUGCUAUUUUCCUAAAAUACCCUUACAUUAAAUAAAGUACAAUUUUAUGGGAACUUGAAUUGAUGGUAAAAAAGAUCAACUCUUAUUAAAUGGGGUAGGUUUAUAGUAACAACAACUUACAUUAAAGAAACAACUACAUUCUUCAAUUAGAAAGUGGACUACAAUUUGGGACAGACGAAAAAGAAAAACAGGACUAUCAAAGUGGGACGGAGGGAGUAUAACAAUUUGCUUGAUUUGAUGCGAACGCCCCCACUGACUCCAUGUACAUUACUACAUGAGUAGUUGCGUUUUGACUUUCAUCAUCUUCCAAUUUGUUAAAGUCGUGAAAUAUAUAAAUGCUUGCGGGGGCUUCUCUAACUUUGACAAAGUUUGGAUUAUGCUUUUUGGCAGAAAAAUUAGAGAAAUGUUAUAUACACUUUCACUAUCAUUUUUGUUAUAUAAUUUGUAUAUAUUAGAUUAUAUAAUAUAACAAAUGAUAGGAGUAUAAACAAUAAAAUAUGAAGUGCAAAUAAUAAUUUUCGAAAACUAUCGGAAUAUUUUUUAUAUAAUUUUUAAUUAUCUUUUUAUUUCAUAUACAUUAAAUCGUUAUACUAUAUCUUCUAGCGAGACAAACAUUUACAUGGGGGUUGAAACUGAUCGCUUCUAAUAUUAAUUGUCUCGUUAUUUUAGAGAGAGAGACUUAUUUAUGUAUACAUCUAAUGUUGGAUAUUAGAAGCUGGAUAAUAUUCUAGAAUGCCGCAUCAAGUUUGUCGCUGCUUCUCUCUCAUCACAAAACACUCUGCCUGUACUGCUUGACGAUCAUUUAAGAUCCACCUCUAACAUAAGCACUAAAUUGCCGAUUCACUUUCUCAUUUUGCAAUUAAUACAGGAUAUCAUAAGUCAUGGUUGUCAAAAUUCUUAUGAUAAAAGGAAAAAAUUACAAUUGGAAACCUUUUUGUAUUAUUGAUUGAAUACUUUUUUUUGUUAUAUAUCUUGACGAUUAUCUCUUAUUUACAUCGCAUGAAGAAAAAUAUUAAAGUGAAUUAAUUGAAUAUCAUGAAGUAUAGGAAUUUUAGUUACAAUCUAUUGCAUUCCUAUUUCGCUUGGAGAAUAUGGCAAUCUUGUAGAAAUUUAAAAAAAAAAUUGCCUAUAAAUGAAAAUGUUAAUUUGCAAUGAAAUUAUGGAAAAAAAAAAUGGUCAAUCAUUCAUAUAAGCUAUUCAGGUGAGAAAUGUCAAAUACACCGAAGUUUGUAAUUCCACGAUGCGUUACUUGAAAUUUUUUUUAUAGAUAACCAUACGAGACAACUCGAGAAUUUUUUUUUCCCAUUUAAAUCUUCUGCUCUAAAAAAUAAAUUUUGAGAUAAAUUUGAAUAUUAAUGUGAUAGGCCCAAAGAGCCAACAGCCAUUGUAUAUGUCUUUACAUAUAUUGAGCUAAUUAAUUGUUACAUGUUGUGUUAAUUUCAAAACAAACUUUAGCAUAAGCAUUUAUUAUUAUUAGUAUUAUUUUAACAUUUAUGGUAUGGCUAGUACUUAUUCCGUCCCUCACAUUAAUAUUGAACUUUCAUUUUCAAGAAAAACCAUUUCGUCUACGAUUAAGUAAAAUGUCUUAAAUGAAGAUUGUGAAAUCACCAUCAGCAAGUCGACUUUCCCAUUGACGUGCCACUUAUCAGAAUAGAGCCAGAGGUUUUUCUGUCUACGCAACUGUUUAACUUUUUUUUUUUUUUGCCCAUGCUCGAGCAUUUUCAAUGGGCUGCAAACUGCCAAAUCUCUUAAAUGGGACAACGUUCACAGGGUUGACGUUGACAAUAAUAUAAGAAGCUCCUGAUUUUAUCUUCCUUUAUUUUGGGGCAAAAACCUCUUUUAAUCCUCAAAUUAUUUUUCAUUAGUAAUUGAUCACUAAACAAUUUUAUCGAACUGGUAAUUAUUUAGUCGAUAAUUGCUCUUAAUAAGUGAAAUUAGCAGUAUACACAUGACAUAUUGCGGGGGUAAUUUUAUCCAACAUCUAUGCGACGCUAUUUUACAGAUUAAGUGCUAAUUUCAUAAAUUAUGAGUAAUCAUUGAGAUCAAAUGAUCACGAGUUUACUGAUCAUGUUGUUUAGUGGUCAAUCAUUGAUAAAAAAAAAUAAUUUGAUGGCCAAAACACGAUCUGAUCAAUAGUUUAGUGAUGACGGAAGUUUUUUUCCCUUUGUUUUAUCUUUCUCACGGGACUUUGGAGUCGAAAAUGGGUCGACGGUCCAGUUGGGUUAUGGAAAUCCGCAGCCGCCGUCCAAUUGAGCUCAGGCAAUAGCAAGUUGACAAAUUGAUCAUUUAAAAUGGGGUUUCAAAUUAUACAAGCGAGAUUCAUUGUACGUAAUCCGGCGGCCACAGCCCCAGACGCAGGCGAUAGUACCCCCGUACCAGCACUCACAUUUCCGCAUCCAUCGAUUCAGUCAGGGAAAAAAAAAAGGCAUUCCUCCUCAUUUGACGGACUAUUAUUUCAUGCAAUACCUCUUUGGUGAUAAGUAUAUAUAUUGGUCCGUUGCGUGAUGAUAAUGCGUUGCCUAAUUCAAUACUCCUAUCUAAGUUGACUUCACAAUUCAAGUCUUGCAUUCCAUGACAUUGGGUCAACAUCAAAAAGAACCUUUCUUUCUUUCCUUCUUAUUAAAUAUUAAAAGAGAAGCUAAGGGCAAUAUAUUUCCUUCCUUGACGCAAGACUAAUAGACGCAACAGAACACACUAAUCGGUGAGUAAAAUAAAUGCGAAUGCUUCCGUCGUAAGAUCAUCCCCGUGUUGGCUAAUUUAUUCGUCUGCUGAAAGUCCAGCAAAUGCCCAAGAAUAAUGCAGGUAUCAGAAAAAGAUAUUGCUUCGAUUUACACCCUCCCCAAGAAUAAUACGGAUGAAGAUUAAUAAAUCAAAUGUAUAUUAUACCGAAGAAGAUAUUAGGGACGGUCAAUGUAAUAGUAGUUAAUUACAAGGUGAAAGAAGUAUGUAUCGUGUGGAAAGCUCUUGCAAAGUGGACUAGUUUCUUCUACCUUCGUUUCUAGCCAGGUCCAUGCUACCUCGCAGCAUCUAUUUCUCCUCCUUAUUUGUUUUGGGUUAAUAAGAGGGAUAAAUGCCGUGAAAAGAAAACUGAUUUGAAGGAACAUCACAAAUUGACAAUCCAUCAUGAAUGAUGAGGAAAACAAAUAUUAAUCUUGCUAAGGUCUGGAAACGGACUGUUUUUGGUUUGACAUUAAUUAUGCUUUCAUUCGUGAUGUGAACCUUUCUUAUUUGUUUUAUUUUAAACAAAGCACCAAAUUUGGUUCUUAAAUCGACUUGAGCCAAAUUUGGUCGUUGCUAAACCACACGGGGACAAUCAAGAAGCCCAAAAAUGUUGGAAAAUCUGUCUUUUUUUGGGGGGCUAGUUAUAAACAAUCAUAGGGGUAAGUCCAAUAAUAUCAUGGUGUGCUUAAAUCAGAAGAACCAAAACUAGGGUUGUGGCUUUGCCCAUAAUAAAACUUUAAAAGCCUGAGCCCUGUACUUGUUUUUAGUUGGCUUUAUGUCUAUGCCAGGUAAUUUAUCCCAAAAUAAAUAAAGAAAUAAAACAUAAAACAUCAUUCAGAAUAAACAUAUGUUCCAAUUAGGAAGGCAAUUCUCGUUCACUCAUGUAACAGGAAAUGUGCCCGGCAGUCUUAAGACUCGACUCCUAGUCCUAGACGGCUCAAAGCCAAGGUGAAUUAUAGAGAGGAGUUACAACGGACUUCACUUGAAGAUACUGAUCCAGGGCUUGCAUUCCAAAAUCUCUGCCAAACCCACUCAUUUUGUACCCACCAUACGGGCAGUCAAUGUCAAAAGCCCGGUAACAAUUUAUCCAAAUGACACCUGCCCGUAUUGAUCUAGACACCGUGUUGGCUAUGUUCAAGUCAUUGGUCAAAAUGCCUGCCGCCAGUCCAUACUCUGUGGCAUUGGCCCUCCUAAUCGCCUCCUCAACAGUCCUGCAGACGUGCCCCCGAAAAUUUUAGUACAUUGGCGGCAUGCAGCCAUGCAGGGCAAAGCCCAAGUAAAACUUACUUGAAUUUCAUGAGUGAAAUGACCGGUCCGAAGAUUUCCUCCUUUGCUAUUCGCAUAUCGUCCUGAGAGGUGUGCAGAAAGAAGAGCGAAACAAUCAGAAAUCAAGAAGGUGUCCUUUUUGAAACAUCCAAGGAAAGCGCAAGCUGUAAUCUACAUCCACAGCUUACCUUGACAUUUGAGAAGACAGUUGGCUCAAUGUAAUAUCCCCUGUCGCCGCAUGGUUUGCCACCUGUUAACAAUGUGGCGCCUUCUGCCUUGCCAAUUUCAAUGUAUGAUAGUAUUUUGUCGUACUGUUUCUUGUCUACCUGCAAAAUCAUACUAUUGACUUUACAAUUACAGUGAAGGAUUGGUAUCCUGCAAAUGGAAAUUGGCAAUUAUUCAAUGAGGAAUUCAUUCCCUAAUGGAGACAAAGGUUCAACGUGUAUGAAUUAAAAUGCUCCCAGGCCAAAAUUUGAACAUGACAAGGCCAUCCCACCCUCGUGAGUUGUGACCCUCCCUCCCCCAAAAGCAAAGAAACAAAAAAAAAAAAAAAAAACCUUUUCUGCUGGGACCGCUGGCUCUCUGCUUUCGUCUGUCAUUUUUCAUAUCGAGUUGGUCGGAUGCAUAAUCACGACAAAGAAAAGCAAGGUAGGAGAUGGGACUUCUCUGGAGUUUAGCAGAUAGAGAUAGUAGUAUGAUCUAGUUGGCACUUGGAACUACGUAGAAACUGUUUCUUCUCUUUUUACUAGCCCAAGUAUGCCUUGCAUUCUUUCUGAAGGACUGUAAUCACUAGAGAUGAAUCUUACUAAAUUGGGGUCCUUGGUCUCAGCGAGGAUCAAAAGGUUCAACGUGUAUGAAUUAGUAGUAUGCCCUAGAAUGCUCUCAGGCUUUCCGCAAUAAAGAAGAAGAGAUUCAAUGAUCAAUCUUACUUGGGGCCCCUGAUUUGAGCGAGGAUCAAACGGAUCACCAACAACCCACGUUUUUGCCAUCUCCACUAACUUGUUGGAAAAUUCUUCAUAAAUCCCUUCUUGGACAAAAAUACGAGAACUUGCUACACAGACUUCGCCCUGGAGAAAGUAUUACUAACUCUUAUCAGAACUACUUUUCCGUAGAUGAUUUAGCUAAAAUAAUUGCUACAAUCUUCACCUUGUUAAAUAGACUGCCCUGAAGUACAAGAUCAGCUGCAGUAUCAACAUCUGCAUCAUCAAAGACAAUGAAAGGGUUCUUGCCUCCAAGUUCCAGCGAGACUGGUUUCAAGUUACUUCUAGCUGCAGCUUCCAUUACUAAACGUCCAACUUCUGUGGACCCGGUAAAAGUAACCUACAGAGGGAAAAAAAGCCCGAAAAUGCUUGCUAUUAUGAUGUCAAAACACAAACACAUUUAAUUUCCUAGCAGGCUUAAUUUUUCAGACGGCAUUUUUCCAUGGAAAAAUAAGCAGCUGCAGAAGUUGAAGAUUGACCUUAUCAAUUUCCAUGUGAGAUGAAAUGGCAGCGCCAGCGGUAUGCCCAUAUCCGGGUACAACAUUAAAAACGCCAUCUGGAAUGCCAGCCUGCAGAUUGAAUAACGUCAGAGGAUAAUCAGUCGUUGAGCCCAAAAGAAAAAAAAGGUUGUUACAUUAAUAGCCUGUGGUAAUUUCUGUACACAACUGAUUGAUAUUACUCUAGAGGUGAAUAAAGCUGACCGAAAUCCAAUCUUACUUUCUUUGCUAAAUGAGCAAAGUAAAGAGCUGUAAGAGGAGUCUGUUCAGCUGGCUUUAUGACAACUGUGCAGCCUGCAGCUAAUGCAGGUCCAACUUUAAGAAAUAGAAGAUUGCUGGGAUAGUUCCAGGGAAUGAUGAUUCCAACGACUCCAAUUGGCUCGCGCAACGUGUAACCUUGAAGUUCCCUUGUCAUCUUCAAAGUUUCUCCGUGGAUUUUAUCAGCUGCUCCUGCAUAGUAUCGCAGAGUCUCGGCUACAACUGGAAUGUCGACGGCUUUGAGCCAAUGGAACAGCUUGCCAGCAUCAAGUGCUUCCAGGGCUGCUAUUUCUUCUACACUUUCAUCAAUUAAGUCCGCUAACUUCAUCAUUAAUCUUCUUCUCCCCUGAUUUCAUCAUCAUCAAAUUAUUAAGGUUGUUUGCGCGAGAGGGUUCAACUUCUAAGUAAUAGCAUGAUUCACUACCGAGUACUGACAUGAGCUCAACUACUUAAAACUGAGGAUGAAACUGGUGGAGAAAUGAAUUACAAUUCAGAAGGUUGAACCGUGAUUCGUUUAAAGUAGGAAACGAAAAAAAUUGGAUGGGAAUAGAAAAGAACAUACGGGGCCUGGGAAACGAGGCCAAGGGCCAUUGUCGAAAGCCUCUCGUGCAGCCUUUACAGCUAAAUCAACAUCUUCCUUGUCACCUUCCGCAAUUCUUGCUGUUGGUUCCCCAGAUCUUGGAUCAAUUGUCUCGUAUGUCUUCCCUAUAGAUGAUAAAAAAAAAAAAAAAAAAAAAAACCUGAUGCUAGUGAUUCCGUAAUGGUUACAUAAAAAAGGAACUGAUAAAACAAUAAAAUCAUUGCGUUGAUUAUGCUUGAGCUUGCUUAGAGUUGAAAUAUAAAAAUAUCUAGAACCAUUCAUCUUAACUUGUAAACUCCAAUACCAACAAGAAGUUACAGCUCCUGCGGGUAUACAACAAUAAAUCAAAGAAACUUAGACCCAAAAGAUUUCAUAAAAAAAAAAAAGCAAAGACCUGAGACAGAAUCAACAAAAUCUCCGUUGAUGAAUAGCUUGGUGAACUUUAUCUCAGGAACCAUGAAGGAAUCCUCUAAUUUUCCAUUGCAAACAGCUGCCAUUGAGGUGCAGUAUGGAAAAAUGGUAUAGUAGGUCUGUGAACUGUUGAAGCUAUUGGAAAGUGAGAGUAAUGUAGCACUACCACAAUCCUACUCUAAAAAGCCGACGGAUGACAAUGAACUGGCACUGCCCCUGACUUACUUGUAAUGCGUGGAUGAGGCCAAACGACAGGGAUAGCGUGUUCUGUUUAAAUGUUUAAUUGCACGCAGAUCAUGACUUCUUGAAAGCUUUGGUAUAAUUUAUUCACGACCUUUGGAAGCUUAAUUGGAUAAGCCAAAGUCUAAUUGAUUGCACCUGAAUCAUGACUUUCGGAAGCUUAAUUUUCAAGUUUUCCCCUUCAUGCAUGAGCCAACGCCUAAACGGGAACCUCUUUCGUAUACCCAUUUUUCCUUCCUAGCUCUGGCUUCACGGCACUAUUGUUCUAGAUACAAUAUAGGAGUAGUUAUGCUUUUGUGACUGGAAUUUGAGUGGAAAAGACAGACAUUUGAUUUUGAGGGAACAAGAAAGGAGAUGCCAAAAGAUAAAACUUUGAAUUUUCCGUCGGAAACUUGGAAAAGUGUCACUGACAAAACCAAUUGCGUUGCGUUGCGUUGCGUUGCGUGUCAAUUAUUACGGCUCCAUUUGGAUCAGUUGUUUUUGGGGUUGUUUUUAAAAAACAACACUGUAGCAUUUCGUUUUUGAAAUACAAGCCCGUUUAAAUUAGUUGUUUUUGAGAUUAUUUUUCAAAAACUAUAUGAAAACUUUUACUUGAGAUGUUUUUUGGAUUAUUUUUAGAGGUAUUUUUAAAACAUAUUUUUUGGUAUUUUUAUAAUUUAUAAUUUUUAUUUUUAUAUACAUUUAUGCAUUUAUAAUACAUUUAUAAAUAUUUAUAAAUAAGUAUAUUUAUAUAUUUAUAUAAAAAUAUAUAAAUGUAUUAUAUUAUAUAUAAUACAUAAUAUAAAUAUAUUUAUAAAUGUAUAAGUGUAUAUUAUUAUAAAUGUAUGAAUUAUAAAUUAAUAUUAUAUAAAUGUAUAAAUUAUAAAUUAUAAAUUAUAAAUUAUAUAUUUUUUAUAUAAAUAUACAUUUAUGCAUUUAUAAUACAUUUAUAAAUAUUUAUAAAUAAAUAUAUUUAUAUAUUUAUAUAAAAAUAUAUAAAUGUAUUAUAAAUUUAUUAUAUUAUAUAUAGUACAUAAUAUAAAUAUGUAUAAGUGUAUAUUAUUGUAAAUGUAUAAAUUAUAAAUGAAUAUUAUAUAAAUGUAUAAAUUAUAAAUUAUAAAUUUUAUAUUUUUAUAUAAAUAUACAUUUAUGCAUUUAUAAUACAUUAAUAAAUAUUUAUAAAUAAAUAUAUUUAUGUAAUGUAUAAAUUAUAAUUUUAUUAAUAUAUAUUAAUAUUAUGUGUAAAUGUAUUAAUAUAAUUAAUAUAAAUGUACAAAUGUAAUAUUAUGUAUAAAUGUAAAAUUAAUAUUAUGUAUAUUAUUAUAAAUGUAUAAAUGUAUUAUAUUAUAUAUAAUACAUAAUAUAAAUGUAUAUUAUAAAUAUAUAAUGUGUAAAUGUAUAUUUAUGUAAAUGUAUAAUAUAUAAUAUAUAAUAUAUUAUACAUAAUUUAUAUAAUAUAUAAUAUUCAUAUAAAUAUAUUAUAAAUAUAUAAAAUUAUUUUUUAAAUAAAAUAAUAUAUUUAUAAUAUGUAUAAAUAAAUAAAUAAAUAUUUAAUAUAUAAUAUACAUUAAUAUUAAUUACAAAUAUUAUAAUAUUAUAAAUAUGAUGUUAUAUAACAUUUCAAUUUGUAAUAUUUAUUCUAUAUUUCAUUAUAUAAAUAUUUAUAUAAUAUAUAAUAUAUAAAUAUAUAAUAUAUAAUUUUCAAUUUGUAUAAUAUACAUAAUAUAGUAUAUAUAUAAUAUAAUAUACAUAAUAUAAUAUAUUUAUACAUAAUAUACAUUAUUACAUUAUUACAUAUUAUGUAUAUUAUAUAUUAUACAUAACAUUAUUAUGCAUUAUUAUACACAAUAAUGUACAUAAUAAUAUUAUGCAUUAAUAAUGUAUAUAUUAUAAUAUAAUGUAUAUAAUAUAUUAUGUAUAAAUAUUUACACAUUUAUGUAUACAGUAUUACAUGUUAUGUAUAUUAUAUUAUAUUAUGUAUAAUAUACAAUGUUAUGUAUAAUAUUAAUGUAUAUAAAUAUUUAUUUAAUAUAUAAUAUAUAUAAUUUUCAAUUUGUAUAUUUCAAUUUAUAUUAAUAUAAUAUAUAUAUAAUAUACAUAAUUGAAAUAUACAUAUGUAUUUAUUUUUGAUAUAAUGUUUGGAUAUGGUGUUUUUGGAGUUGUUUUGGAAAUACACAUUUACUGUAGCAUUUGGAAUGUGAAAAACAGUUUUUCAAAAACAGCCCAAAAAAUCAGGGAUCCAAACGGACCCUACAUCUUUCAAAGACGGGCGUAGGGACUAGGGACCAAUGAUGGGCCUAAAUGCCGCCAUUUACCUAAAAGCAAUCUUGGGCCUAAAUGCCUACAAACUCAUCGUCAUUAAUUGGCCAAUUUUUCCAAAACAAUCACAAAUUGUCGUGAUAAAUCCCUUUCUUUUUUAACGUGAUUGUAACUCUAAAACAAUUUUCUUUACAAUUGUGGAAAAAAUUCAAUUUAUAUUUUGCUAUUAUAAGAGUUUUCAGCCAACAUUAAUGUAAUAUUUCUUAUCUGAAUGUGCAUGUGACGUGAGACUAAAAACAAAAUAGUUGGACAUAUCAUUCUAGUUUUCAGCAACAAUUUCUUGAAAAAUUAACCAUUAAACUGGAGCCUUAGUGCUUAGUUGGUUUUUUUUUUAAAAAAAAAAAUUAUACCAUUUUAGUUCUCAGUAACAAUUUCUUGAAAAAUUGACCAUUGUAAUAAUAGUUAAUCAUUCUUUUGAGAUCCUAUCCCCUUAAAAAGAAAUCCCGAUCUAUCCCAUAUGAAAUCCGUAAACAUCACUGAGAAAUUUAGGCCUUGUUUGGAUUGUGAUUUUUCGUCGGAAAAUUAUAUCGUUUUCCGUGAUCACAUUUCUCUAUUACCUUUUUUUCUCACAUACAUCAAAUCGCUAUAGUAAUUUUUCUAUGAAAAAUCAUGAAAAAUGCAAUCCAAACACAACCUUAAACAUCCGUAAAACAAUUACAUCAUCUCAAGGAAGGCAUUUCGCGUUUCCUGCAACAGGAAAGCCAUUCACCCAGUGGUCAAAGCCAAGGUGAACUAUAGAGAGGAGUUUCAAUAGACUUAGUAUGAAGAUACUGAUCUAGGGCUUGCAUUCCAAAGUCUCUGCCAAACCCACUCAUUUUAUACCCACCAAAUGGACAGUUAACAUGAAAAGCCAGGUAACAAUUUAUCCAAAUGAUUCCUCCUGCCCGGAUUGAUCUUGACAGGGUGUUGGCUAUGUUCAAGUCCUUGGUCAAAAUGCCUGCCGCAAGUCCAUAUUUUGUGGCAUUGGCUCUCUUUAUCGCGUCCUCAACCGUCCUGCAGAUUCGCAACACGGCCCCAAAUUUAAAAACAAAAUCAACAGUCCGAUAAAAUGGUUAUAGUGCUGAUUUGUUGAACUAGAUUGCAUUAGAACUUGCUGCAAAAUAUUCCAUUUGGAGCCAAAGCCCAUGUAAAACUUACCUGAACUUCAGGAGCGAAAUUACAGAUCCCAAGAUUUCUUCCUUUGCUAUCAGCAUAUCGUCCUUAGAUGCAUGCAGAAAAAAGAGCGAAACAAAAAGAACUACAACAUUAAUCAAGGCGUCUUUUCUGAAACAUCCGGAGAAAGAGAGAGCCUAUAAGUUAAUUAAAGACAAAGCUUACCUUAACAUCUGAGAAGACUGUUGGCUCAAUGCAACUAAUAUCCCUUCUCGCCGCAAGGUUUGCCACCUGUUAACAGCGUGGCACCUUCUGCCUUACCAAGUUCGAUGCAUGACAGUAUUUUAUCAAACUGUUUCUUGUCCACCUGCAAAAUCGUUUGAAUUUUAGAGCAUCUGAAGGAUCUUGUUAGGCUGUUGCAGAAAAUUGUGUAUAAAGGUUCUGUAAAUGGAAAUUGACAAUUAUUCAAUGAGGAAAUCAUUCCUUGAUGACCAAAAAGCUUCAACCUGUACGAAUUAAGAAGCUCUCUGGGUUUCCAUAACGGAAAAGAAAGUUUCAAAUGAUCAAAUCUUACUUGGGGUCCCUGAUCUGAGCGAGGAUCGAAAGGAUCACCAACAACCCAAGUUUUUGUCUUCUCCACUAAUUUCUUGAAAAAUUCUUCAUAAAUCCCUUCUUGGACGAAAAUACGAGAACUUGCCACACAUACUUCGCCCUGGAAAAAGAAUUUAACUCUUACCACACCUACUUUCUGUAGAUAAUUCAGUCAAUAUAGUUCCUACAGUCUUCACCUUGUUGCAUAGACUGCCCUGAAGGACAAGACUAGCUGCAGUAUCAACAUCUGCAUCAUCAAAAACAAUGAAAGGGUUCUUGCCUCCCAGUUCCAGUGAAACUGAUUUCAAAUUGCUUUUAGCUGCAGCUUCCAUUACUAAACGUCCUACUCCUGUGGACCCAGUAAAAGCAACCUAUAGACCCCAAAAAAAAAAAAAAAAAAAAAAAAAAAAAACCAAAACUUCUUCAAAUUGUGAUGUCAACGUGCAAACAUGUAAUUUUCAAACCAAAAAUUUUCCCGGAAAAGGAAGCAAUUCUUUAGAAGUUGAAAAUUGAACCUUGUCAAUAUCCAUGUGAGAUGAAACGGCAGCACCAGCGGUGUGUCCAUAUCCUGGUACAACAUUGAAUACUCCAUCUGGAAUGCCAGCCUGUACAUCGAAAAUGUACGAGGAUAAUCAAUCAUUAAGGCCAAAAGAAAAAAGAGGUUGGAUAAGUAGCCUGCUAUGAUCUGUAUACACCGUUCCGUUGACAUUACUCCUGAGGUGAAUAAAGCUGACCAAAAUUUGAUCUUACUUUCUUUGCUAAAUGAGCACAGUAAAGAGCUGAAAGCGGAGUCUGUUCAGCUGGCUUUAUGACAGUUGUGCAGCCUGCAGCUAAUGCUGGUGCGACUUUAAGGAACAGAAUAUUGCAGGGAUAGUUCCAGGGAAUGAUGAUUCCAACAACUCCAAUUGGCUCGCGCAAGGUGCAACCUUGAAAUUCCCUCGUCAUCUUCAAAGUUUCUCCGUGGAUUUUAUCAGCUGCUCCUGCAUAGUACCGCAGAGUCUCAGCUACAAGGGGAAUGUCAACGGCCUUGAGAUAAUGGAACAACUUCCCAGCAUCAAGUGCAUCCAGGGCUGCUAUUUCCUCUACAUUUUCAUCAAUCAAGUCCGCGAAUUUCAGAAUCAAUUUUCUCCUCCCCUGAUUGCAUCAUCAUAGAGAAAUUAAUCAAAAUUCAAAAGGCUGUAAUAUGUGUUACUUUGCCUUCAAUCAGGAAAGGAAAGAUCUAAGGGAACAGAAGAACAUACGGGGCCUGGCAAACGUGGCCAGGGGCCAUUGUCGAAAGCCUCUCGCUGCAGCCUUUACAGCUAAAUCAACAUCUUCCUUGUCACCUUCUGCAAUUCUUGCCGUUGGUUCCCCUGUUCUUGGAUCAAUCGUCUCAUACGUCCUCCCUGUAAAUGAUCAGAACCGAUACUGUAUCAUCUCAUAAAAUUUUUCAUUAAAAAAUAACUGAUAUAAGAAUACCAUUGAUUGAUCAUAAUCAUAUGCUUGAGCUUGCUUAGAGGUACAUAUACUACAGUAGCAUAUUCAAAAAUUAGAACCACAAAACUUGUGAAUGUAAACACUACCAGCAAUAUGAAAACUUAUAAUUCCAAAAAAUACAAAAUGAAAUCACAGAAACUUAAGCCAAAAGAAUUCAGGAAAAGCAAAGACCUGAAACAGAAUCAACAAAAUAUCCAUUGAUAAAUGGCUUGGUGAACCUUAUCUUUGGAAUCACAGAUGAACCCUCUAAUUUUUCAUUGGUCUCCGCAGCCAUUGAGGUAUAGCAUGGAAGCAUGGUAGCAGGUAUACGAAUUGCUAAAGCUAUUGCAAAGCGAAAAUAAUGUUGUAGGACACUGAACUGACACAAUUCCCAGAUUAGUUGGAACACAUGGACGGGGCCAAAUUAUACGGAUAGUGUGUUUUGUACUGAACUUUGCAUGUGAAUCAAUAAUCAUGACUUCCUGCUCCUGGAAGCUCCCUUCAAUCAUAAGCCAAAGUCUUGUGUACCCGCAGGAUCACGGGUCUCACGCGUUCAAUUUCAGUCCAAUUGAGGGCAAAUUAGUUUCUUUUAAUUUUCUUAUACUAUAACCUUUGCUUGUUUACACUUUGUCUAGAUUUAUUUGACGGUAUACCUUUACCUGUUUGAACUGGAAGUUUUGGAGCCGCUGGUGUGGUGAUUAUGGCACCUCUUGCAUCUUUUUACGCAGUGAUGAUAGUAUAGCUGGUUCACGUACUCACGUCACUACUGCGUCGGCUAAAAUAGAAUUUUUACGUUUUUUAUUUUCAAGCUAGUGAAUUAAAUUUGUUAGUCUACUCUUAAAAUCAUCCCAAAUCCCUUUAAUUAUUUGAAUUAUUUAGGAGGUAUUUAAAUAUAUAAAUUACAAAUUAUUAUGAUAUUUGAAAUAUAUUUUGAUAAUUAGUGAAUUAUAAAUUUGAAUACCUCUUAAAAAAAUCCAAAUAAUUAGAGAGAUUUGGGCGGAUUUCAAAUCUUUCAUUAAAUCCCUUAAUUCGAACGAAGGAUGAAAGUUCUUGGUAAACUAUUUGAAAUUCACUCAAAAUCGCUCUAAUAGUUUGAAUUGCUUAAGAAGUUUUAGAUUUGUUAUUCAUUAAUUAUUAAGAUACAUCUUAAAUAAAUAUUAUAAUAAGCAGUGAUUUACAAAUCCAAAUGGCUCCUAAGUAAUCUAAACAACUAGAGGGAUUUGAAAAGAUUUUAAAUCUUUCACCAAAUCUCUCAAUCUAAACGGAAGCAGAGAUAAUUUUUUGAUGUUUAGUUUCGAUAAAAUAACAAUGGAAAUGACGUUCAAAACUGCAAUAUUAGUUGGAAACUUGACUAGUCCGAAGCCGGGUGUAAGGCAGUGGAGAUUUCAAAAGCGCCCCAACCAACAGAGCGAAAUUCAUUUGGGCUAUCAUUCAGCUGAAAAUGAUCUUGGGCCCAAAUCACGGAGACGGAUCCUAACCGGGUUGGACUACCAUUUAUGGCGUUACGACUCUUAAACUGUUUAGCCGUCUGUUCCCUCAAGGGAAGUCUGACAACGACUGAUAUCUGUGGGCCGAAAUGGAUUCCGGGGUUAAGAAAAUCAUGAAUGUAUAUAUUUAAACCCAAAUCCCGUAAGAAAAUCAUGGGUUUGGGUACAUGUGAUCAUGUAAGGUUUGUACUCGUAUAAUCUGAACCCAUAUUCAGACCGAGAUUCAUGAUUAGUUGAUGAUAUUUUUUUAUCAAGAGAGUUAAUUGACGAUGUUUUACGCUUAUUAGUUCAUAAUUCUUACUUUUAACAUUCUUGAACGUGAAAUUCAUUUCUGCAUCAAAUCGCCUUAUGGAAUUGCCAGUCCAAACUUCUUGGAUAUCAAUAAUAUUGGUAUUUAUGUCAUUUAAUUAGUGCCUUGCACAUUUGGAAUCAAAGUCAAUAUAACCACAGUGCAAGAGGGUAAUAUGUCAUGUUUAACUUCAGAAGGGUAAUUGCCCAGAUUUUGACUGCAACUUUUUCUUUCCUUCCUUUUUCCUCAAUUUCUAACUCCUUCAAACAUAUCUUCUAUCAGAAUAAUGGCCUAGCACCCUUAAACUUUUUUUCACUCAAUGGCCUCUCAAUAUGGAAGAUGAAUUACUCUCUUUAUCUAUUCUACACAAAUAGGUUUAGAUUUGUAGUAACGUAACCUAAUAAUCUCAGAAACUCUUUGUAAAAUUUAGUUAUGCAUGCUUGUGGCAGUAAUCUAGAUUUCAACCGAUGGUGUGCAGAAAAUCUUUUGCUAAAGUCAUCCAUUAUAUACAGGCAACCAAUUAUCUCUGAUUGAUUAACCAGGUCUUUUGAGUUUCUAUUUGCUCUAGAUUAACUCCAUCUCCUACUUUUAUCUAUAAAAGACAAGGUACAUACAAUACGGUUCAGCGAAAUGGAAUUCAAAGUCGUAUUACCAUCCAUGCACUUUUUUAACACUCCUCUCCAUACAAUACACCCCAUGAGCUCCCCAUGUUUGAAGAACAAGCCUACGAGCUGAGUUUCUGUGGAAACCAUGCUCGAUCAGUUGAAACUGAGUUUCCACCAAAUAGAUGCAUUGAGCAUAAAGAUAUGACUCAAGAUUGCCAUAAACCAACAUCUUGAUCACCACACUACUUAUGCCUUCUCCACAGAACAUGAUCACUAUACAUUAAGCCACCACUAAAACGUACUAAUCAAAGUAUUCUUACACGUCCGCGUCGAUCCUUUUCAUGAAAAAUGCUUGGAGGGAUCAGCAAAGCGCAUCGAGAAAGAUCGAGACAGGAGAUCAUUCUGAACUGGUUCAUCAUCUAACAUCUGCCCAUCAUCAAAGUUCUGCAUAUAACUUUGUGCAUCGUAAGGGGACUUCACCUGCACCCGAGGCUCAAGUAUUUUCCUCUUUUCCUUCAGCAACUUUCUCCAUAAUGCCUUCAAGGACUGCUUCUUGAAUCCUGGGGAAUUAUUUUCCUUAGCUGCAGCGAACUUUUCGAGCUCGUUGUAAUCGUAGGGCCGUCCCAGAUAGAUGUUUCGUGUACUGCUCGACCUGCGCGGCCAAUUGCCUGUGACGUCCAUAGCUGUACAGAGCAGCCAAGAAGCAAGUUACGCAUCACCGCAGGGAGAAGGCCGUCAUAUAGGAGGGCCUAUCUAACUAAUAGAGGUGGGGUGGUUUUUGAUGACUAGAUUAGUCCAAAUUGACUACCAGAAUUUGCUAUCAUUGUUGGAGUAUAAAUUUCUUCGAUCAAAUUUGACCGGCCAACCAUAAAAGAAUUGUGUUUGGUCAGGGAAAUUUAUUAAAGAUUGGGAUUUGACAAUUGGUACAAAGCGGGUGUGGAAUUUGUAGCAGCUUGCUUAUCCAAGUUGUAUUUGUAUGGGUCCUCCAUAUAUAAAUAUAUCCUUUUUGACCUUCAACUAGAAGCACGUGAUUUGCACAAAGGAGGAUCGUUUUGGGCAAUUUGACACAGCUAGAGCUUUUUCUACUAAGCUUCCAGGGUCCUUAACCAAAAAAAAAAAAAAAAAACUAAUAAGCUUCUGGGGUUGGACUUUAGCCUAAAAUGAUGCCCAAAAAGAUCCUGUUCAAAGGUUGCUCUUAUUGACAUCUAAAUAAUAAACCGGAGCUAAUUCUUGAUUUGGCCCUUCAGAAUAACAAAUGUGUCAUCAAAAUAGAGGAUUGCGUACAUCAAUUGAAACGCUCAACUAAUUGUACUAUUUUUUUUUUCCAUUUUGACACUCCCAAGCUCCAAAAGUGUUCGAUAUCACUCCUAUAACCGUGCAAUUAGUUUCUGCCGUUUUGGCCCUUUAAUUACAAAAAGGCUUUGAUGGAUCAAGUGAAACCUUCGGUAUUCCAGGGGCUCAAACCACAAACAAUAGAAUGCUAAUGUUCAAGAUGAAUAACUAAUUAUCAAAAUGGUGAAUUGGCACGUUCACAAAUCACAUGUUUUGGAAGAGUAGGCCUGUUGUAGACGGAACAGAAAUUAAGCAAGACGGUGAUAAAGAAGAUUGAUAGCAUUCCUUUGGUGCAGGGAUAUUAAAUCUCAAUACAGUGCGCCCCAAAAGAAAUGGGAUACGGGCUGCAACCGUUUGUGCCGAUUGUCCUCAUUUUGCACUGCGCGUAAUAUUGGUUAACACGAUGUAACUUUUUUUUCACAGGAUGUAUUUUUAGAACAGAUAGUGGUAGACCCCACACUUGGCGCGGAAAUCGAGUUACAUGGUGUAAUCUCAACCGCACAAAAUUUUGAGGGCAAAUCUUGGCCCUUAACCGUGCAGGGACGGUCAUCAGUAUGACCGUCCCUGCCCCAAAUCCAAAGAAAUGAGGGAGGACUGGGUAUUGUUGAUUUGACAUUAUGGAAUAGGUGCUUGGCGUUAAGGGUUAUAUGGAAUAUUUGCAGCAAAUAAGAGAUUCUUUAUGGGUUAAGUGGGUAUGUGCAGUUUUGCUCAGGAAUACAUCAUUUGGUGCGUGAAAAUACCUUGAAACUGCUCGUGGGAAAGGAGAAAGAUUUUGCAGUUGAAAACCAUGUUUCAGCCUCACAUUGGGAAGGUUCUUGGAAACGGGAAAAGUAUAAAUUUCUGGUACGAAAGUUGGCACUUAGUGGACCAUUUGUACUAGAAAUAUUCCAUGAAACUUUUGCAUUGUUUUGGAAUUUCUUCAGCUGAUCGUGGGGCUAAUUGUAUAUCAAAUGGCAAGUGGAGAUGGCCUGUAGGUAGGAAAUGCACUAGAGAAGUAAAGGAAUUAACGAGAAGCUACUCCUCAGCUAUUAGUGCCUUUAGCUGAUCAGGAAGAUGGCACUUAUUGGGCUGCUCAUGCUUCUGGUAACUUCACCGUUAAAUCUGCUCUCAAGUUGUUGAGACGAUUACAUGGUAUAGUGCCUGGCACCCUUUAAUUUGGGGAAGAAGCAGUAUUCCUCUGCUUUCUUUCAUUUUAUGGCUGUUAUGCAAGCGAUGACUGCAUAUGUUAGUUGAAUAUACCAAAGAUUUUCAUCCAUAUAUAUAUAUAUAUAUAUGAGGUGUUGAGUCACUCCAUUCAUUGCCAAUUGAUUUUGACACAAAAGUCCAACUUAUUUUAACAUAUUAUCAGAGUUGGGCCUUGUGUUUGUUUGUCAUUUCAUGGGUUUGUUUGUUACUCCGUUUAUUUCAUCCGUGACUUGGCUCUUGCUCUAGUUUAAACCCAUUUGUCAAGUCACGUUUGCGAGAGGGUGUUAGUUGAAUAUUCCAGAUUGAUAUUUUAAGAAUUUUCAAUCAUAUAUAUAAGGUGUUGAGCCACUCGACUAUUGCCAAUUGAUUUUGAAAUGAGAGUCCAACUUAUUUUAACGGAAUACAUUUGAUAGGGUGUGAAGACAGGGUAUGGUUCUUCAGGAUAGUAGCUGCGUGUUUUGCUUGGAGGUUGAAGAGCCCAUAGAUCAUAUUUUCUUUCAAUGCAGGGUUGGGACCUGGGCUUUGGGAUGGGGAUUAUCAUUUCAAUGCUUUAGCAGUGUAAAUAGUUAGCUGUUUUUUCCCCCCUAUCUAACUUUCUUGCGGAAAUAAAUAAAACAUCUUUGAUUCUUUUUUUUUUUAAGAAACAAGUGACUCACAUACUUAUUCUAUGAUUAACAACUUAGUUUUAGCAACGUGACACGUGCGAUGACUGUUGGUUCGCCCAAAUAUUAGGAGUGCAUUACUCAUUUUGAUUCAUGUGCUGAAGGAAAUUGUAGAGCAAACGUCUAUCUAAUGAUCCAGCCAUUAAGAUAGGAGCUGCAAGGUAUAAAACGAUCAGAAUGAAUUAAAGUUCUUGACAAAUUUAACAAAAUUAAUGCAAGUGUCCACCAAAACGGCAAGAGCAACUUGAAACUCUUGAUCAUUGAUUGAAUAGCCAAGAAGCCUUGUUGAUGCCUUCGUUAACUCAUUCAACGUCAGGAAUUGGGCAAUUACGACAAUUAUCGCCAGAAAUGCUUCUUUUUUUUUUAUUAUUAUUAUACCUCUGAACCAAUUUCUUUACAAGCGUAGACAGAAGUACAAAAAAUGUCAUAUAUCUCCGUCCAAACAAAUGGAGAAAAUACAUAAAGAAUUUAAUCAAUACUAGUAAUUUCUAAAAAAAGAAUUGGGGCCCAGAAGAAAGAAUGAGCUCAAUGAACCAAGUAUGUAAUAGCCAGCGCAACCACUAGAAGAACAUAGGCAACCCCUUGAUCAAUUGCAGCGCCUGCAUUCAAAACCAUUAAGAAUAGAUUAAGACUUAAUUGACAACAACUACCAGUAGCUGAAAAAUGCUAAAAGUAAAAGGCAAAAAUCGAAUCAGGACUUGAUUAGAACAAGACGAAGAAUAUGGAAAAGGGACUCACCAUCAUUAGAAGGAGGGCCGAUCGGUGCAGGGGAAGGGGCCGUGAUGCUUUGUCCACGGCUCAAUUCAAAAAGCGCCAACAUGAUGAAACCGAUAAUUGGAAGUGCAAACGAUCUGGCGGAGUUCAUCCUGUCUAUAAUUGGAAGAAACAGAGUAGUAUUCCAAAGGGGAGCAAAAAAAAAAAAACAAAACAAAAAAAGGAUUGAAUUGUCUGUGAGGUUGAAGGGAAGAAAAGUUGAAAGAAUUGGCGAAAUGGGAAACUGAGGAUGGGAGGACGAAUGAAGAAAGUGCGGGAGGUCCUAUAUAUAUAUAUAUGUGUGUGUGUGUGUGUGCGUGUGUGUAUGUAUCUAUACUGGGGGUAAGGGACAGGGGGGGGGGAACGUGGGUACGGAGUUGGUUAGAGGGCAAAAACAAGAAAAUGAAGGUUCUGGGAAAUACUAGCUGGAGAGGAGCAGGAGUGAGGUAAAAGGUACGCGCCAAACUAGCACGGUGUCUAUAAUUUGACGACGCGGCUGGCGGCUCCAUUGACCCAAUAUUAUUAUUUCCUGUGGGAACUGGGAAGAAAGGAAGCCAUGAUGGUGGGGCGGGGAAGAGUGGUGGGACGGUAUGAUUGGUAGGACGUGGACGUUAGUUGAAGAAUCGACCACUUCAUUGUUCUAGAAGUCAAAUUAGUCAGCCAAAUGAUAAUACCCCCUCCAACGCCAAAUUUGCCUCGUUAGUUAGUGCAAAGAAAACUAGAAAAGAAAGGUCUUUCUCUGCGACACCACACGGAGAAGAGAAAAGGAAAAGGAAAACAAAAAUAAAGCAGGGGAAAAUGGUCUUGGUACCUAAUUUUCAGUUUUUUGUAACAUCUACCACAUGGCAUAUGCUUGCUUGUUGCUUUCCAGAUGUUAGAUUAUUGGUACGAGUUUUGCAGCAGUCACAGUUAGGCAUCGUCGUUUAGAUCUUUGAGGCUAAGCAAACUUUUCAAAAAUUUUCAGACUUCUUUAAGUCAAGAAAGUUUAGUCCUAUCUACUUGGUGGCUGUUGCCUCUUCUUCUUCUUCUUCUUCUUCGGGUGUUAAAAAUACGAGGGGAACUAGAGAACGGGGCUUCUGUGUCAUAUCGCAAAUGGAAAGCGCCAUCUGAGAACGGGCUGGGAUUCGGGAAUACAGAGCCAUGUGACAGAUGGGGCACCCUGGCGGUUGCCAGUCUCUGCAAGAACCUUGGGCCAGUUUUUAUGUUCACAGUUUCUGGAUUGACUACAAAACUACUAUACAGAUGAUGGGCCGGGGAAGACUUCUAGUGUUGGGCCGAUGAAUAACACAAAUGAGACCCAGCUGAUACAAGGAAGCCACCAAAUUCUGUAAUGUUUAAGGAAGAGUCGGUAGCAGUAAUUCCGUCGAAGGAUUUGCCUUCUACAAUGUUGCAUAAUUGUAACUUGAAAACAAAUUUGAUUACUUAAAUCCUUCUCGACUAAGAUCACCGGAGAGAUUAGAGAUUAUACAUCACCCGUCCAGUCUUACUCGGGCAUAUGCAUCCAAGAACUGUAAAGAUUAGACAGCUACAGGCCUACAAUUCUACCAAAGAGAAGGGGAGGCUAAUAUUUGGCAAAUUGUAGCUAAAAGGUGACCAAAUCCUAGCUUUAGAAGAAACUGAAGUUUGUAUAAUGUGUAUCUCGUUACAGAACUCCUUUUUACAUAGCCAUCCAAAAAAAAAAAAGGAACUGGUGGUUUAUCUGAUAUGAAGAGCAAGAAAGAUAUUGUGCAUGGGCAUCAACAAACCAUCGUAUCCAGAUAAUUUUUGACCCAAAAUGAUGUGAUUUCCUAAUUGCAUUCCAUUGAUUUUCUCUGCUCUACAAGAAGACCUGAACAAUCCUCGACCCAUUACUAGCUUGCACUUGCAGGGGCAACUUCAAAAUGUGAAAUGUGACCUACCAAGAAGUCAAGUGUGCAGGUAAAGAGCAAGUACAUCUUCUCACAUCUUACCUGGAACGGCAUCAGUUCUUCUGUGUCUUUUUAUGGAACCCCUGACUAGGAACUGCAUCAGCAUCACCCCACUCCCUGUCCCCUAAACCAGAAAGGCCGUUUAAACAAAAAGCCGCCCUCGUGUACGUACAUAUGAUCCAACACAAUAUCAGUCCCUGUUACUAUCACACUUGCGAAGGAAACCACCAAAAUAAGACUAUGUCCAAUGCCUUUCCGAAUAUAGAUUUGCUUUCCCCUACAUCAUGCUUUAAUGAGAAAGUAGAAACCUUCCUGGUUUGAUUCGCUGGCAAAUAAUUGGCCCCUCAAAGUUCAGCUCUUCCCUAGACAGUCGCAACAAAACAUAGAAGAAACUUUUUCCUUUCGCUGUAAAAGAAUGUCCAUUCAGGCAAUUAUGAGACUUUUCACUCUUGCAGUUAAAAAGAUUUCCAUGAUAAAUUUGGGAUCAUCAGUUUCAUAUAUACUGAAAUGAAAAAAACCAAGUUUACACAGUGUUAGUAAGUAGCAUUUAUUAUGCAAGAAGUGAUUCUCCAGUCCUAGAAACCACUGAGUUUAGCUCAAUAGCCACCAUGGAGGACUUAAGUCCUUCCUUGGGCUGUAGGUAAGGGUUCAAAUCUCACCUGCAGCAAAAAAAAAUCUAAGGAUAGCGCUAUAGCAUUCCAUUGAUUUAGAUGGGUCCGUAGCCCCUAACACAAGCCUCCUUAGACUCUUCUUUCCCUUAGAUUAGGAUAGAGUAGGUUAUACCCUAACACAAGCCUCCUUAGACUCUCCCUUCCCUUAGAUUAGGAUAGAGCAUGUUAUACAAUGCAUCGUUACUGGUAAAAAAAAAAAAAAAAGAUUGUCCAGUCCUGGAAGCAACUGUGGUAGUGUGUCUGGACAAGUUUAUAACUAUGUUUUAACUUAUCAGGCCAUGGCUCAGCGAGAGUUAGGCAACUGUGACUCAUUUCGUCGGACAAAGACAAAUCAGCUUACUUACUAAGCAAUUACAACAGGACGCCUUGUACCGUUAAGCAAGGCAAUCAUACCCGAAACUUCCUAACAUCCCUCCUAUGCUAUAUACGAUGCCAAAAAUUCACAAAACCGUACAAAUAAGCUACCAGCAUAUUAAUACAAGAGCAAGAACAGAAGAGAAAACGAUAUCAGGCGGAUUCAAGCAAGAAGAUGUGCCAUCAGGACGGGGGAUAUUCAUAUGCAGACUCGAGGAACUUGGAGGCGCAAAGGAGAAGGCGUGGCUUCCUGGAAUCUGGUGAGAUCGAUGACUAUAUACAAAGAACAACGAGAGCGUCUGAAUCUUCAGGACGAGCAAACGUGGCGAAGCUGCAAUGCCUAUGUUCGCCCACCCAUCAUCCAGGCUCCUUUAGGUGCAGACAGCAUCAGGCUAAAUAUGUGUGGGGGGCGAGGUUGUGCAGGAGUUUUGGAAGCUGAGUAGAAGAAAGGAUACAGUUCAGUCCGUGGAUGUUCACAUGUAACAACAUUUCUGUGGUUCACAGGAUGGAGAUUUAUAUCAUCAUGUAUACAAGUUUGCUGCCUCUGUCCAAACACUUCGCUCCUUCAAUCCCCAGGAUCCUCAACCAAAUGCUCGUUGCUGUACUUUCAAAUUAAUUAAUUGUACUGAAUUUUAGUCUCUUGAAUAAAAUUUUUUGCAUCCAGAUACGGGAGGAUACAAAGGCUUGAAAAUUAGUCCAUCAAAUAAGAUCUCAAACAACUAUCCAUACGCUGCAAUUGAGUCCACGGCUUGGAUUGCGAAUGAGUUUGCGUCUACUUUGCAGGUUCCUCAGUGUACUCAGUCAUGUGAUAAUCGUCGGACUACACGUCAGCCGCUAAUAAACCUGCGGCAAUUCGACUCAUUUCCGCCAGACAGUCAUCUUUGCUGAUCUUCCCUUAUCCUUUUACUAGUUGAAAAAGGCCGUCAUUCGUUUUCUUUUCUUUUUUUUUUUUAUAUACUUUUGUCCAGCAAAACAAUUCCCAAAAUGAAAAAAAAAAAAAAAAGUUCCCAAUGACGCACUAGACAUUAAAUACUCUGAAGUGGAGAGCGGUGAUAUGACAAUCCAGAGCAGGGGUGGGCAAAAAAAUCCGAAAAUCCGAAAACCCGAUCGACCCGCCCCGAAAAGUAGGGUAUCCGACCCUAUUUUUAUCAACGGAGCAAAUAGGGUCGGGUACCCAUAAAAUUCGGAUACGAAUACGGAUCACAAAAUCUAAAAUCCGCGGGUACCCGACCCGGGAUAUAUUUUACAAAUAUUAAAAAAUAUAGGGAUAAAUUUAUAAUAUUUUAAAGUUAUUAACCCUAAGUUCCUAACAUAUCCUCACUUCAGUCGACACUCCAGCCUUCAGUCUUCACUUCAGCGCCGCCGCAACUUCUUCACCUUCAGACUUCACUCUUCAGUCCUAGUUUUGGGCUUCUGGACCUUCAAUUUCUCAAGUCCCAAACACUCAAGUUGUACAAGUGCAACGCCAACGCCGACCUAGUCGAUCUGCAAAUCCAUAGCAAAGAAUUUUUGAAUUGUACCAUGUUGUUUAAUACAUCCGUAUAGGUUUUGUUUCUGUAGUUUCGGCAUGGAGUGCUAGAAUUUUGGUAGAGGCAUCAUCAAGGAAGUGAAUUUUGUGUUAAUCUUCGAGGUAGCGUAGUGUAAUUUUAGAGGUAAACUCUUUUCCAAAAAUAUUUCCUCAUUGCGGCAGGAAUUCUCAGCCUAAUAGCUCUUAGCUUUUCUGGACCAACAUGUCUUUGGAAGGCUGAGGUAUACAGCGUUUUGUAGGUUUACAAGAAUUGUGGUGUAUGGAGACCUUCAGAAGAAGUACAGUAGCAUAGCUUUGUCUGGAUAAAGAUUUUUCAGAAGUGCCCUGUUCCUUGGAGAGUUGUUUUUUCCACCUGUGCUUGUAGUAAUUCUUUUACGGUGGAAAGUAGUUGGUGCUUGUACCUUGUUAGUCUAUGAAAUAACAUCUCAAGUCUGCACGUUCCCCCUCCUUUUUUUUUUUUGGCUUUUCUUAUGCUUCAAUGAAAUUGAAAUUCCUUUUCAGUGUGCUAAGAAAUCCUCGCGUGUGUGUGUGUGUGUGUGUGUUCGGCUACUUCAGCAGAGGACUUCCAUUAACCUCAAUUCUGGCAACUAAGGUAUUUGGUUUUGCCAGAAAGAAGACCGUAGUAGCAGCCAGGUUCAUCUUCUAAGAUGAAAUUGCAAAUUUCUUUGUUUUGCUAUUGUCUUUGUCUUUGCAUUCAUACAGGAAUUCGCAUUCUUUAAUAGGGGCGGGUACCCUAUGACCCGCCCCUAUUUUUCGGGUAUCCGAAGAUCGGGUACCCGAGGGCAAGCGGAGCGGAUUAGGGUCAAAAAAAUAGUGACCCGAUAUGUUAGGGUCGGGUCAGUCAUUUGACGUUCGGGGCGAAUACCCGACCCGUGCCCACCCCUAAUCCAGAGUGAUCUCCUUAAAUGCUAAUUCUUUAGGUAAAAUUAGGAAACAAGAAUUUAAUGGAGGUGUCAAGCAAAGAGUUUAUUUGGACGGUAAAAAAAAAAAAAAAAACUUUUCAAUUGCAUCGUAAACAACCAUUCAACUUUGGCUUAGUGACCACAAAAAACAGGACUAAAAAAUUUCUAUUUGAACUGUAGGUAGGUGAGGGAUUAAAUUCUACUUGCAAUAAAAAAAAAUUUAAAAGAAGUGUCAAAGCACCCCUUUAGUCUACUAGCUCCCUAGCUUAAGAUAGAUUACGUUAUAAAAAUAUUUUUUUUCUCUUUAAAUUAGGAAAGAUUACGUUACAAGAAUGUUAUUAGAGCACCCUUUUGGUCUACUAACUCCCCAGAUUCUGAUAGAUUAGAUUAUAAUAAUGUUAUCACCUUUAAAUUAUGAUAGAUUAGAUUAUAAAAAUGUCAUCGUUACUGUAAAAAAAAUUGCGUCUUUUUCAAUCAGCUUUCAUGUUCAAACAAACCCAAUACAGUGAUUGGCUUGUAAGCAAAUGGACGAAAAUGCGGAAGCCAAAUGAGCGAUACGGUUGACGUUAAAUCAUCUCACCUUAUCCUCUCAAGGACCAGUAAGUAUUUGGCGCAUUUUCCCCCAAGGAGGAAAAAAGGAAAACGAGAAAGAAAAAGGUGGGUAUCAAAUGACUAGGAUAUUACGACAUCUCUAUCGGGCAUGAUCUGAGCAUGUACCUAAUUCAAUUGAACUUUAUCCAAUGGAUUAUGACAUCGAAAGAGAUACACAGACAGGCAUCAAUUAAUUACCACAUCCACUCCAAUCGCUUAAGAAACUCGAACCAACCCUGUGGGAUAUCUUUGAAUCAUUAACAUAACAUGGCCAGGGGGAAAAACGUAGAGAUGAAUUAAAAAGUUCCCAGACCUACCGUUACCCUUACCCACCUGAUGGAAGUGGAACCACUCGCUCAAUUCAUUUAUCAAUAAAAAUAGAAUAUUGCCAAGUGAAUUUUAGGUCCAAUAGUUAUUAUUUAUUUGUACCGGCUGCCAUGCCAUCAUUAUCGUUAUCCUGAUCCUGCUCUAGAAAUUUUUUUUUUUUUUUAAUUUUUACCCCGUUGGCCUUUUUCACGGCGCAUUAAUCUCAUCGUUUAGAAGGGGAGCUGGUUAAGUGCUGGAUGGUGGCAUCCAUAUUAUGUGAUGAUGAUAAUACUUACUAGUAGUCUUCUGUGUAUUGAUAAAAAGGUUAUCCUCCUGGAGAUAAUUCUCGUACUAAAGAUAGAAAAGGAGGCAAUUCCAACUUGUAAAGAGGUUUCUUCGUCGAUGGCUCCUUUGCGUUAGAAUUUUCCGUUUUAAAAUAAUCAUCAAAAGUUAGAUGGAAACGAGAAAGACAACUAAUGCAAUUAUGGGUGUGCGAUGACAGCUAAAUAAUGAAAUUUCUCUUCAGCCGAAGCCGAAGGAAGCCGCUUGUCGUCGAGUUAUGGGGGGAGGCACAGCGGAGAGGAUCUGAAUCCAUCGAGGUUAAUAGUAACAUAAAGGACAAAAUCCAAUCCAUCGUGCUUUACACAACCAAACUGGCAGGUGGAUCCCAAGUGCGUGCAUCUAGUACUCUACCUUUAACAUCUGACUCCACGGAGAUUGCAGUCAUGCAGAAAUCCAGGAUCCAUAUUAAAACUGAUUGUGCUAUAUAAUAACCAUGCCUGAGAUUGCGAAAAAUAUAAACUGAAACGAGGAUGUAAAAAGGCAGCCAGGGUAAUAUUUGCCGGUUGAUCAACAAUCUUAGACGUAAGAAUAUACAAGAAAAGUCAUACACACACACACACACACACAUAUAUAUAUAUAUAUAUAUAUGCUGGCUGGCUCCAUGAAAAAGCAGCAGUUAUAUAAUAUUGCCCCUUUUUUUCAUGAAAUUGCCAAGAAGUUUAUGCAAAAACAGAGGCAUCAUCACACAAGGAGGCAAUUAAUUGAUUGAGGACUUAAUACUAGUACAAGGGCUCCCUGAUCAUGUGGAUUCAACCGAUUUGGGAGAAAGAGAAGGGCUGUUGUUAUGGACAGGCAUGGACUUUGAUCUCUUGAAAUAGGCAGUAGAAUUGGAGCGGUGAAACCUGCACCUGAACGAUCCCUGAUGAGUCGUGGGCGAGCAGAGACACUGCUGCUGCUGCUGCUGCUGCUGCCCUUUUGGAGACGAAGAAUUCUGGCCGUUGGCACUCUUGGGGGAUGUUGUGGUUUCCACCGUAAUGCCACCGCCAGCUGGGCCGCGGGGGUGGUGGGAGGAGGCCAUUUAAUUACUACCAGAGAGAGAGAGAGAAUGGAAGAAAACCAUAUGAUAUGGCAAGAGAGUCUUGUUGUGGUGCAUAUGAUAU